This 80365-nucleotide long non-coding RNA is filed under the name Vitis vinifera (wine grape). Its description in RNAcentral is "long non-coding RNA (VVIN_LNC002683)". Lineage: Eukaryota; Viridiplantae; Streptophyta; Magnoliopsida; Vitales; Vitaceae. The record is from RNAcentral.
UUGUGGUGGACCUUAUGGAAAAAUUCAAUAAAUAAUUAUAUAUAUAUAUAUAUAUAUAUAUAAAUAAUAGAUGUGACAAAAUAUAUGUUGUCACUUGUCAUGCAACUGGACAUGUCAUUUCCAGCAAUCUUGUACAACCAAAUUGGCCACACAAUGUCUAUUCCUCACUUUUCCUUUUAUCCUUUCUAUUGUGCCAUGGCCCCCCCUCCAUCUAAAUGUCAUCCAGUGUGGUUAUUGGCUUCUUAGGAUUCUAACAUUCCUCUCCAACUCCCCAAAUUAUCAAUUUUAAUACAUCAUCAUCAUUGACUCCGUUUUAAAGUAAUUUAAUAAAAAAUAUUUUUUUUUAUAUUUAAAUAUUAAAAACGUUUUCUAAAAUCACUCAAAUACACUAUUUUUUGUUUAUAAUUUUUUUUUUUUUUAAAAAAAAAAAUUACAACCCAUUUAUUAAAAAUGAUCUUAAAAGGAUAAAAGUGCUUUUAUCCUAAAAAUUGCAUUGUUUAUACCCUGUUUGUACUUUAGAAAGGUCAUGUGUUUGGUAUAUAUCGUGGUCAAAGGAAGUUUUAAAUUUUAUAUUUUUGAAUAAAAUUUUAUGCCAGCGAUAAAAAUGUAUUAAACAAAAAAACAUUUUUUUUGAAAAAAAUUACUCCUAAAUAAGUUCUAAAAUUGAGAUGAAGAUGCAAGUUAUACCUUUUAAAUUAAAUAGAUUUAUAAGCCAUUUGAAGGUGAUUUUAAGAAGGCAGAAGGGUUUUUAAUGUUUAUAAUUUAUUCAUUUAUUUUAGAAAUUAGGUAUAUGUCAAACUUUUAAAAAUCAUUUAAAAGGUAUAAAGAAUCAUAAUGAAUAAUUUCCUAUAAAAGGCAUUUUAAGUAGAAAUGUUUUUUCUAUAAAUAUUUGUAAGAGAGUUACCAAUCAAGUUGUUGUCAUCCUAUAAGUGAUUUUUUUUAAAGAAAAAUGUUUUAUAAAUAUCAUUAAAUAUUUUAUUUUUCAUUAAAAAACACUUUUUAAACUAAAUGUGUUUUUUAAAAACAUUCAAAUAGGCUUUAAUAGGUUAUUCUUUUUUUAAAAAAACUUUAACAAAAAUAUCAUUAAAGCAUUCUUUUUUAAUAUGUUUAAAUAUUUAUACUAUGUUUUGCUUUAGAAAAACACUAAGAAAAUUUUUAAAAUAUUGAGAAAAAUGAUUUCAUUUGGGUUUAUUUAAAAAAAUAAUAAUAAUAAUUAUGAUUAAAACUAGUUAAAAAAAAUCAUUUUUCAAAUUAUUUGGACUUAAUAUAUGAGUGAUUUUGAAAAUGAUUGAAAGCGCUUUCUAAUUCUCACAAAAUUUGAUGUUUCAAAUAAUCAUAGGAUAUAAUCAAUUGAAGUGAUUUUUAGAUAAUAAUUAGAGGAUGAUAGAUAAUUUUUUUUUCUUUUGUUAUAAUUUAUUCUCAAAUUAAGAGUGUUUCUGAAUGUUACUUUAAAAAUAUUUUAAAUUUUUUUAAUACUUGAAUGAUAAAAAAUUUCAAAUGUUAGAUAAAUUAAAAAAUUAUUUAUUAGAUAGAAUUUAAAACAUUUUUAAUGAAAGCGUUUUAAUUAAAAUAAUUUCUAAAUGGAUUUAAUAUUUAUAUAUAAAAAAUUAAAAUAAGUGAAAUAAAUUAUGAAUAAUAUAUAAAAAUUAUAUACUGAUUUCAUUUUUUUUAAUUUUUUUAAUUUACUCUCUAUUUAUUACUUCCUACUAUUCCUCAAAAUUUUCAAAAGCCUUGGUGACGUUCUUUAUUUUUUUCUGGGGCUGGGUGCGUAGUGGGGGUUUAUGAGCGGGAAUCUUUAUGGUCAUUUCAUGAUGGAAAGCCACUGUCAAGCUGCCGGCUUCUGCUUCCUCUGCCUUGUUGGUCCCCUAUUCUUUUCUCUUCAUGGUGAAGUUUUUGCUUUACCAUUACUACUCCCACUCUCUAUUAAGGGCACUGGUGACCCCAUUGCGUUGUCCCAGGGCAUGUAUCCAAGGAAAAAAUGCAAGAGAAAUAAAUAAAUAAAAAAUUAAAAAUAAAGAAAAUAAAUAUAUUAUACUCCAAAUUUAUUUAAUUUUAUUUUAACUAUUUAAUAUACAAAUUAUAUAAUUUAAAAAUAUAUAAAUGUGUAACUAAUUUCAAUUUUAUUUGAUUUAUUUUUUGUAUUUUUAUAAUCAAGCAUGGGAAAAAUAUUUUUCUUGAUAUUUUUUUAUUUCUUUAAUACUUUUUAGGAAUCAGAUAUAACUGAAAGGGUUUUUUGUAUGAGUAGCAUAAAUUUCAAAAAAAAAAAAACUUAUAAUAUUAAAAAUAAUUCUAAAAUUAUCAUGCCCUUAGAUUUCAAAUCAAACUCAUAAUUUUAAAAUAUAGAUUAAUGUAAACAUGAAUUUAUCUUUUCAAAAAAUGAAAGUCAUCAUUUUAAAUGUAAAAAAUUUUAAAGUAAAAAGAUGAAUUCAAUAUAAAAUGUCAAUUCAAAAUAGAGUUGAUUGUAAAAUAGUUAAUUCUUUUGAAAAUGUGGGGUUUAAUAUAAAAAUAAAGGUAUAAUAUUUUUAUAUUUAAUUUUUAGGCAACUAUUUUUAAUAGUAUUUUUAAAACAACAUUUUUUAAAUAAAAAAAAAAAAGGGAAACUAAUGGGUUCCCUUAAAAGCCCUUUUUAAAAUUAAAAAAGAAAUUGAAAAAAAGAAGAGAAGAUUCACAGUGCAUUAUUUGGGCUUAAAGUUAAAGCAACCCAUUAAUAAAAGCACCUUGUGGGGUUGGCAAGUGUCCCUAAGUUGAGUCCAAUGUGUAGGACAGUGCCCUAAUAGGAAAAAUAUGUUUGAAUUCCAAUAAUAAUACUAAUAAUAAUAAUAACAAUAAUGCUGCAUGUUCACCUGUGUUAAAUGAAAAAUAUCCAUUAUUGUGGAACAUGGAAGUGAAAAAAUAUUUUCUUUUUAAACAAUUUUUUUGUUACUCCCUAUUUUGCUAAAAAUAAAAGGCCCGCCAAACUGUUUUUUAAAGUAAUUUUUUAUUGUUAUCUAAAAUAAAUAAAAUUUAAAAAAAAAGGCGUUUGACAGCUAGAAAAUUUAAAUGGAUAUUUUGUAAGAUAUUUUCAAAUAAUAUUUUUUUAGUUUUUUAACUUAUUUUUUUAAUCAUUAUUUUAAAUAAUAAUUAUAAAAAUAAAAUAUUACAUAUAAAAAUUAUUUUUAUAAAAUAUUUUAAAUUUAUUUUUUAAAAAUAAAAUCCUAUUUUCAACUUUUUUUUCAUGUAAGGUAUUAUGUACUUAUUUACACUUCUUUUUUUUAAAUCCCAUUUUUAUAAUAAUUAUAAAAAAAAAAACAGUUUUGUGAAUGCCCCAUUCAAUGAUGCCACACUUCUAAUGAUGCCUUGCUAGACGCUUGAAUCACAUUUUCCUCCAAUGCAUAGAGACACCUCCCUUCUUAGUUCAUCUGGCUAGCACUUGCUGAAGUUGAUCCUUAAUGAUAGAACCAGUUGAUGAGAAUUCUAUAAAGCAUGGGUUAUUAGAGGUAAGUUGUCUAAUGGAUAACAAAUUUUUCUUAAUUUCUAAAACAACCAAUAAUUUUUUAAGUUUUAGAUUUCUAUAUUUAGUUUUUAGUCUAGCUUCACCAAUAUGUGAUAUUUCUUAAAGCUUCUCCAUUUCCAACAGAAAUUGCACCAUGUCCUUUAUAUGGAAUUACGUGGGACAUCUUACCUGGUCAUUUGUUACAUGGGUUGUUGCUCUCGAGUCCACAUAAAAAUCAGUAUCCUUAUCUUCUUCAUUUAGAAUCAUAGCAACCAAAGCUUGAGGAAUCUCUUCUUUUAUUUGUUUAGUGAAAAAAAUGAUUUUUAGAAAAAACUUGGAAUCGUCAUUUAUUUUUAUUUUAUUUUAAAGAAAAAAUAAAAUAAGAAAUAAAACCAUAAGUGUGACUCAUUAUUUGGAAAAUAAAGUUUAUGAAAAGUCAAAGUAGGAUUUGGGGUCAGGUUAAUUAUUAGAAGAUAUAACGAAAGACCGGAAGCACCUUCUAAGUCCUUAAAAAUAGAUCUCUAUUAAAUAAAGUUAGACAAAUAUGACAAUUAAUUAGGAGAUGAAUGAAUAUUAAAAUGAUCAUAAAUAAAAAACAAGUCAUAAUAACAAAUAAAUAAACAAAGUGAGAAUGAAAACAUACAUUGGUAGUAGGUAAUAAAACGCUAUCACGGAACAAUAUUAGUGCAUAAUAAUAAAUGUAAAAUAUUUCACACAAAAUCAAAUAAUAUUAAUCAUACAAUUCACUUGAAUUAUUUUUAAAAGAAAUAUUAUGAAUGUUGAGCCCACUAAAGUCCAAUUAAUUUUGCAUGAAUUAAUCCCACAAAUUUCAACUUUUUAUUUCAAAACAAUGUUCAAACUGAUCCUAAAAUUUUCGUCAUACAGUGAUAACCACCGUUAAUGUGUUUAAUUACCUUGUUAGCCAAUACCUUACGCGUUACAACAUCCAAAUGAGUUUUAAAAAAAAAAAAUUUAACGGUAAGGGCAUUUGUGGAAACAAGCCCUAAGCAGACGGGAAUCGCACAAGAGUGACACGUGUCCAAUUCAGACCAAAUAUGCGUCGGAUCACCAUAAGAAAAAGGAAGUAUAUAUAUACAUAUAGGACCGUGACAAUCUGUAAAAUUAGAAUUUCACCCCGUAUCCAGCUAACCAUAUAGAAUACAGUACGAAAGUUGAGAAUAUUAAUGAAAAAAGUAAAGGGAAAAAUAAGAGGCUAUAAAUGCAAAGAAAAAGACGCGUCACGUAGUGGGAUUAAAAACCGUGUCGGGGUUGGAUGGCGUCCGGUCCCCGCCCUUCCCGGACCCAAACAUUAAUAUACGCCCUUGGUUUCCCGACAUACGGUCCAUUUGCACCAUCAUUUCAACCUUUUUUUUUUUUUUUUUUAAUAAAUAAAAAAUUAAAAUUAGUUUGAAUUUUUAAUAAUAUUUUAUUUUGGAAGUACGAAAUAUUAUAAAAAUUUUAAUCAACAUAAUAAUUUAAUUUAUAUUUUUAAAAACUCUGAUAAAAUGAAUAUUUUUUACUUAAAUUUUAAAAGAUUUAAUUAACGUUUUAAAAAACAAAUCAUACUUUUUAUCAAACUAAUGAUCCAAUGUGUACUUACCAAUAAAGGAAAAGUUUUAUUCUUAAUUUUUAUAUUUUAAAAUAUUUUCAAUGUGUGAUUAUACUUUGAAAUAUUAUAGUUUUUCUCAAUCUAUUUGCUGGAGUGAGUUUAAAAGUUCGAAAAAAAAUACAAAUAAAGGAAAAAAAAAAUCAAAAAGUAAGGAAAAUAUGAAAAUUUUGAAGGAAAAAUUAUUAUAUUUAUUAUUGGUUUAGAUAUUUUUUUUUAAAUAAAAAAUAGUAAUAAGUUUCGUAUUAAACACAAAAAAAAAAUUAGAGUCUUAUAUUAAAAAUAUUAUAUUUUUAAAAACUAUUUAAAAAAUUGAAUAUAAAAAAAUUUACAACUUUAAAAUUUUUAAAAAAUAAUUUAUAUUUUUUUUACAAAAUAUUUUAAUUUUAUAUAGAAGUUUUUUUUUUCAAAACUUUCUUAAUUUUUAUUUAAGAAAAAUGAAGAGAAACAUCUUUUUGCAUUUUCUCAUAUAUAUAUAUAUAUAUAUACAUUUUUUUGUAAUAAUUGGGAUUUUCGUUUUCUUAUCAUGGCCCAUAUCUUUUAUUUUUUUUUUGGAUGUGGGGGAGAAUAUGCUUCAUUUCUUGGCAAUCGAAUGCUACUAAAAUACAGAAUUAGGAGUGUUUGUAUAAUUGAAUUCCAUGCAAACAAAAUAUAACAUAUUACAAAUUAAGAAUAUAAUACUAUGUUGGUAACCGCUUUAAAAAAUAAUUUUUAAAAAUGGUUUUUUAAAAUUGUAUGAUAUUUUAUAGAACAAAUGUCUAUAUGAAAACCAAAAAUAUUUUUAUAUUUAAUUAUUUUAUAUGUUUGUAUAAUUAUUUUUUAAAAUGAUAUUAAAAAAUAAUAAUAAAAAGUUUUCUAAAAAUAUACCGUUUUUAAUUUUUAAGAAUAUAAAAUAAAAAAUAAUUUAUGAUUAUGAAACAUAUUUUCUUGUUUUAAAAAAAAUAUAUAUAAAACUGUUUUAAAAAAUAAUUAUGAAACAAAUCCUAAUUUUUAUUUAUUUUUUACUAUUUUCUUUAAUUUAUAUAUUAAAUGAUUAAAAUAUUAAACAUUAAAUUUACUAAAUACAACCAUAACAACGAAACAUAGUUCAUAUUCAAUCUAUAAUAUAAAAUAAUAAUACUUUUGGUUAUUUUUUUAUUUUUAUAAUUUUAACACCAAAAACAUAAAUUAUUAACAACAUUUUCUAUGUUUUUAUUAUUUUAAAAAUAAGGAAUGAAGGGCACAAAAAGAGAUACUUCAUUCAUCACUUCAAUGAUUUUUUUCUUCUUUUCUUUCUAAUAAUUGAUAGUAAGAAAUGUAAACUUUGGUGUGCUAAUUUUCUUCUCCCUUUUUCGAAAAUUGCCCCUAAAAUUCAUGAAAAAUCCUUACCAAAUUUUGAUACAAUAUUGAUUAAAAUAAAUGAAAAAUGUUAGUUUAUUUGAUUUUUUAUUUAUAAAAUGGUAAAUAUCAUUUUUUAUCGUUUCCCAGAUGAGAAGAAAACUACCCUACCGAGGAAAAAUGGCACCAAUUAUUUUAUCUCGGGAAACAAACGGAAAGUAGAAUAAAAAUAUAAUAUAGUUCUCUCUAUAAAACACACACCUUCUCGCUCCCUCUCUCUCAAAAUUUGUAUAAUUAAACAGGCACCGAAGCAACGUUGCUUUCUCCUUACUUCAAAUGGCUGAGAAGUAAUAUGAGAGAGAAAGAGAGAUACAUAGAUAGAGGAAGACUCACAGGCAUUUAGAGUAAACAAUUCUAGAGAGAAGGACAAGAAGAGGAUUUGGGAGUUCUUUGAUAUCUGUUCUUCAUCUCUGCAACAAAUUUGGAUUGGAAUUGAGUCUGCAACUCUUGAACUUGGUUAGGGUUUUGGAGUGGGGUAGUUCUAGAACGGUGUUGGAGUUGAAUUAUAGUGAUUGACUUAAGUGGGUUUUGGGAGAAUUGAGGUGGGUUUGGUUUAGUUUUGGUUGGAGUGGUUCGAUAUAGAGCGAUUUGGACUUGUUAUGGAGCGAAUUGCAGGAACCGGAGGUAGAUCCGGGAGUACCGGAGGCGAGAAGGAGGAAAUCGGAGCUGAGUCGUUCCUAUUUGGCGAGGAAAUUCAAAGACUGAUGACUGGUCCGCCGGAGAAUGGAAGCUCCUUCACGGCACUCCUCGGACUUCCGGCGAAUCAAGCCAUGGAGCUCUUGCACUCGCAGGAAUCUGACACAGCUCCCGCCGAACUCUCCGGCGAGGCGUGGAGAGAUAACCAUAUGAAUCCUCACAAACUCUACUACUGUUCCCCGACAUUUCCGGCGAACACCACUCUCAUCGACCGCGCCGCGAGGUUCUCCGUCUUCGCCGCCGGCGAAAACUCGCCGGAAACUAGCUCAGUCCCGUCGAAUUCCUCGCACAAAGUUAAGAAUGAACCCACUGAUACAGACUCGAACCCUAAUUCAUUACCGCCGUUGAUCUCCAAUCCAACGGUUGAGAACAAGAAUCAGCGAUCAACGAAGCGAAAGGAGCGAGAGAAGAAGGUGGGUGCACUCCAAAUUAGGGUUUCUAGGGUUUCCAUUUUUGGUAAUCACCUUAAUUUCACUGAUUAAGACUUAAUCAACCCCAAUUUGUGAUAAAUUAGGCCAAAGGGUCGACGAAAAAGUGCAAAAACGCAUCGAAUGAGACCUCCGAAGAGGCCGAGAAGCUUCCGUACGUUCACGUUCGAGCUCGUCGCGGCCAAGCCACUGAUAGCCAUAGCUUAGCAGAAAGGGUAAUGCCUUAAUCAAUAUUAAUUAGUCUCUAAUGUAGUUUAUUUGUUGUUAAUUUUCAAUUAAUAUUGCUAUUGUUUUUCCAAAUUUUGAUAGGCUAGGAGAGAGAAGAUUAACGCCCGGAUGAAGCUUCUUCAAGAGCUGGUCCCUGGUUGUAAUAAGGUCAGUUUUCAUAUUUCUUUGUCUUGACUCUUGAGUUGCUUAAUUAAUUAUUAAAAUUGUAUGAUUAGGAUUUCAGAAUCUUUGAUUACGGAAAUGAGUGUGAUUAUUCCUUAAAAAGUGCAAUUGUGUCUUUGGAUUAGGCUUUUAAUAAUGGUUUUGUCAUUGUCACCCUUUACCCAAACCCAAAAGGGGUUUCCUUUUCCCUCAAGAAAAGUGUUGAAGUGGGUAAAGUGGCAAUAUCGUAAUUUCACCGAUUGCGAAACAAUUAUUUGUUAUUAUCAUUAUUUUUUUCAUUUCUUUCUUCCGAGGAGGUUUCUUGGAAAGGGUUGAUCUUGUCAUUUUGGAUGAACGGCUACAUUUUUUGUGGUUUGAUAAAUUAUUGCCCCAGGAAUUGUGUUCUGCAGCAUGGUUUGAGCUUCAUUUCAGAAAAGGAUAAAACUUAGUAGUAUUAGAAUUGGAUAUCAUGGAAUUAAAAUAAUUUUGAUUCAAAAUGACGAGAAUGCCCGUCAUGGGGAUACACAUGUAGUCGCCUUGUCAGUUGGGAUGCUUAUGGGUCCCUCCCCACCAGGGGAUGCUUUGAUCCUCUUUGUUUGGAUCGAGUGUGUUUGGCAAGCAUCUGGGUGGGUGCAUGGUACUGACAUUUAUUAUAAAUUAGGUAUCCAUCCCAAAUUGGAAGACUAAAAAAUGGAAGACCAGAAAACACUCCUUCAUACAAAUCCAUGUACCAGAGUCCCAGACCCAACUGCAUAUAGGCAUGAUGUGAUAGUCCGAAAACAAAUCAACUUAAUAGAGUACAAGCAUAAACCGGAUCUAUACCUACAUGAGAUUUCUUUUUUCAUAAUUGAAUGCUUUUGAGCAUUUCUUUUGUAACUUUUCCAUUAAUAAAAGGUGAAUCCAAAUCUGCUGAAAUUAAAUGAUCAAAACCAACAAUCACUUUCCUUUUUGGGAUCACCAAUCAUGUUGUUCUAAAGAUUGAAAAGUAGGCCUGUGGUUUAAUAGUUGGAAAUUAUCAAUAUUAAUUGUUGUCAGGUCUGGUUGAAUCAAAUAAUGGCACUUUGGUUCUCUUUGAUUGAUCAGAAUGUACAAUCUCCUUACAAUUAUUAAAGUUUAGUUUACACACAAUUCACAGCUGUAUUCCCUUUCGAAUUAAAUUUGGGAGAAGGCUAAUGGGGCCCCAUAUGUUCAAUUUUUCUUUGAAAACUGUUGUCUCAGCAAUUUUUGGGAAAAUUUGAUUCACUUGUGUUUCCAAAUUCUGAUUCAUCUGAAGUUGAAUGUGGCAGUUGAAUCCUUAUGUCCCUUUCACAACCCAGAGAUGGAUUAGAGCGCCUGUGAUAGCCUUGGACUUAAAUUUUCCUAUAUCUUUAUUUGUUAUUAUGUACAGGUUAGAAUUUUUGGAUCUUCCAUUUUCAAUCAUAAAAAAAUUAUAUUGCACAACUGGUAGUGUGAUCAAUCCUUAUCUGAUCCAAGAAACUGACACAUGGCAGCAUAAACCACCCCUUAUGUUCAUCUAAUCGGUUAAAAAAUAGUCAAAAAGCUGUUUUAGCCAGGUGCUCUCUUCAGAAUCAUUCAAUAAAACAUUUACUUGAAAUUUGCAUCUGAGUGAAAACAUCAAUGUUCUAUUUUCCUCCACUUUACUAGUGCUCUGUCUCUGACAAGGAGAGGUUUGCUGUCUCUCAGUGUUUUAGUGUCCCUAUUUUUGAAAGUUUCCAUACCUAACAAGAAAACUGCUUUGCAGAUUUCAGGUACAGCUUUAGUGCUGGAUGAAAUUAUCAGCCACGUACAAUCCCUACAACGCCAAGUAGAGGUCAGACUUGCUUAUCUGAGGCAUCUAAUUUAGAGUGUUAAAUUUGAACAGUUCUUGUCUACAAUAUUAUGGGAGAUGCAGAAUUUAAACUUUUCCAGGAACAAUUUUGUUAAUGAGGCUUUGUUUGUGUGAUGAGUCCUGAAGCACCUGGCCCCCACCUCUAACUAUUGAGGUUUGCCAACUGUUUUUUGGUGCCUCUCUAUAUGAUCUGAAUUCCAUCAUAAUGAUCUUUUUUUUUCUAUUUAUAUCAGUUUGAUGGGUUGCAUUAAUAUAUGGGUCUCAAUCCUCUUGGAUGCUAACUAAAGAUUUCUGAUGUGUUAAGUUUUACUUAUGUUACUUUUCCUAAUCUUAACAUGUUUGGGUUAUUGAAACAACAUUAUGAAAUCUAUUCGUUGUUAACCAACAAUGAAAAAGAAACAGAAAAAAGAAAAAAAAAAGAAAAAAAAAAACGACCCUAAGUAAAACUUGAUGAGCAUUGAGCAUUUGGCAAGCUUCAAGAUUUUUAAAACAUAUAUGAAUCUGUGUUACGUAUGUAUGUAUUAUCUUCACCCCUUGAUUUCAUUCUGGUUGGACUUUUCUUUGGUUACAGUUCUUAUCUAUGAGACUUGCGGCAGUAAACCCGAGAAUUGAUUUCAACCUUGACAGUUUAUUGGCUCCAGAAGUAAGCAUCGCAUAGCUCUCUUCUUACAUUGUUUCCUUAAUAAAUUAGAGAUACUAUACCUCAACCAGGCAGUGGGGGGUGGGUUGGUGUGUUGGGCGUUGGGGGUGGUUGAAUCAUAGGGCUCAAGAUGCAGCCCAGUUUGAGCCUGCAUCAAAUUUACUUUGAGAGGGCUCGUGAUAUCACGUUCUCAACAAGAACUUUGACCCUGGUGUAUAUUUUAUCAUAUUUUUAAUAAUUGCAGCGUGGAUAAGCUAAAUAGUGGAGUGGAAAAUAGAAGCUCUUGUAGUACUAGUGUGCUUUUCCUGACCCACACUCAAAAUCAAAGAACAGUUUUCCACCAUCAAUGUGGGCAGAGCAGAGGUCAGUCUUGGACCACCUAUGCCAUCUGUCCACAUUUAAUCUACAACUUUUUGUGAUUAGAUGUGAUCCAUCAAAACGGUUCCCAUAGCCUUAUGGAAUGGUGGGGCCUCCAUAAAGGCCAGCCCUUAUGUGUGGGAAUGGGCAUGGGUUAUCUACAAUUAACUUAUGCAGUUCAUGAGUUCCCAGUUGCAUCAUGCUGCACCAUUUUAAAGAGUAUUUUAUCAUUCAGUGAGGAGCAAGGAAGUGGUGCCACUGAACUUUAUUGUUCCAGAAUGGCCAAAUACUCUGUAUGUACUGUGGUAGUGUGCAAUAUGAUCAGUCAAAUGAAGCAUAAAGGCUAAUGGUAUAAGGAUCUGCAUUGCGAUCCAUGGAAUAUAUUGGGACUAAGAAUCGUUCUUCUUGGUAGCUACCCCCUGAGGUCCCAAAAUUUCCCUGGUUAAGAUAGAGUUAUGGUACUUUAUAACAGUAGUGAUGAACUAACCAGUGUAAUACGCUCUGUCCUAUUGAGUUACUACAUUUUUUUGAAAUUUGAUCUUCAUUUUACAUUAUUAAUCUUUUCCAUUAACCUUUUAAACUUUCAGAGUGGAUCUCUGGUCGACAGUAACUUCCCUAGCAUGGUCAUGCCACUGAUGUGGCCAGAUGUCCAAGCCAAUGAAAACAGACAACCUUAUCAACAGCUAUGGAAUGAUGACACACUUCACCAGCCAGUUUGGGGAAGGGAAGAGGACGACCCCCAUAAUUUCAUUGCUCCAGAGCACUCGCUUUUGAGUUAUGACUCCUCGGCAAAUUCAGGUAAAUUAGACUUUACUAUGUUCAGUCUACCACUACCAACUGCUCUUUUGCAUAACUGACCUAACCAGAAAUUAUUUCAUUAGCCCUCCAUGACAAGCUCGGCAACAUGCAAGUUUUAUUUUUUUCUUUUCCCUGCCAAAGACAUAAAUUCAUCGUUUAGAAUGGAGACCUGCAACUACAAGAAAGAACAGGAAAAAAAACUUGGAAUCGAUUGAUUAAAAAAAUAAUAAUUUCCUAGAAAAUUUUGAGUUCUCCCAACUUUUACUUUGUCUGUAUGUGGAAAACUAGAUUCAUGCUUGCGUGUUCCUGUCAGGGUAGACCAGAGAAAGGUGAUUCAAUUAUUGGAUCUAAAGACCUUCUCUAUCUUAUCAUCUUAGCAAACAACAUCAUUUUAAAUGGUACGGAAAGGGAAGCUGAAUGUAUUAAUUUCUUAGGUGAAUUGGAUUAUUAACUACCAAACAUUUUUGGUUAAAUUAUUGAAGGAAAGUACUCAUUUGGAUGAGUUUUCUGCUGUCUCCCAAGGUCUCAUUAACACCGAAAUUAACACAAACUUGUUACAUGUGGGCACAGGGUCUCUGCAGUCAAACCAGCUGAAAAUGGAGCUGUGAAGACAAAGGUGGAGCUGCAUUAGUAGCUAGUCGUGUAUAUACUACUAUAGUAUUUAGCAGUUAGCCGGGGAAGUUGAGGUGGGGUCUUCAACAUUCAUAUUGGGUUUCCACAUCUUCUAUUUGUGAGUCUGUUGGAAACCCAGAUUUCUCUUGGUAUGUUACUCUUGAGUAUAUAUAUAUUAUAAUAUAUAGAUAUAUCUCUAUAUAUUAAUACUAACUUAGAGGGUCAUUCAGUCUAAGACUUACAUCUCUGAGAUGAUUGAUUGAUGAUUCAUAUUGUAAAAACAUAGAACACUCUAUGCUUUAACUACUAUGGAAGUCAGCUUUUUUGUUCCUUUGUUUCCCUUCAAGACAGUCUGGAUUUCCUUUGAAAUGGAUAUCUGGGGAAUACAGGCCAUAAUUGUCUUCAGUUUAUUAUUCCUAUUUCAGAUAAGCGUGGAACCAAGUCGACAGCUCUUAACAGUUUUCUCUAAUUUCAUUUUAGUUCAUGAAAAGUUUAUGGGCAAUUCAAUGUGUAAAUGAGCUUUAUGACUCAAUGGUCUUGGAUGGAAAUCUCCAAGAGAGGAAAAAAAAACCAAAAAACCUUUUUGGGUAACUUUUUAAAAAUAAAGAGCUUGUCGUGUGAUGGUUGUUAUCUAUAAACAAUUUUUAAAAAUAAAAUGAGAUAAAAAAUAAUUUUUAGAGAAUAAGUAGGAGUUGUUUUUAUGGGUUUUUGAUUUUUUUUUAAAAUUAAAAAAUAAAAAAUAACUUUUAAAAAUAAGUUUUAGAAAGCAUGGUGAAACAGAUCGAAAUUUUGAGAACAACUUUCAAAAAUAAUUAUUAGUUAUUCUUAGAAAUAAAAAUUUAUAUGAAAAUUCAAAUAUAAAAAGAUUUAAGCUUAUUGUCUAUGGAAUUUUUUAAAAAUAUUUUAUAAAAAAAUAUCUGAAAAUAUCUUAAAUUUUUUCUGAAAAACAAUAUGUUUAAAAAAAAUUAUUUUUAGUUAAAAAAAUUGUGCGUUUUAUGAGAUAGAAUUUUAUUUUCUGUUCUGUAUAGAAUAGAAAUUUAUUUUUGACAUCAGUUUUCAAACAACCUUUGGGCCUUAGGCCCAAACUAGUCGGCUCAUGUUGGAAAAGGCCCAAGCUAGUCAGCUCAUGUUGGAAUGGGACCAUUGGGCUGGGCUUCGCACCGCAUCGAGAUUAUGACAUAUGAAUGCUUGUGAAUCCAGUUUUUGGUGAGGUGGGUGGAACCGAUGACUAAGGAGAACGAUGUUUUACCAACUCAUCUAAUCUAGUAAGUUCGCUUACAUCCACGUUUCCCCCACACUUUUAAAACAAAAUAAAUAAAAAUUCUUGGGUUUUGUAUUAAACUAUUUUUUAUUCUUUUAAUAAAAUUAGUGAAACACUUAUGAAAAAUAUGUUUAGCGUAAAACAGGAUUCAAUAAUAUAAUAAUUAAUUAGAUACCCAAUCAAAAUUUAAGAUUGAUACUAUUUUAAAUAUAUAUAUAUAUUUAAAGAUAUAAGAAUAUUUUAUGGGUUUUGAUUCACUGAUUUGAAAAAAAUUAUAAAAAAAUGAUAUUUUUUUAUAUCGGUUUUAUCUUCAUUCAUUUAAAAUAUAUAUAUUUUUCUCACAAUUCGGUUUGAGAUAAAAAAAAAAUUAAGAAAUUUUAAAAAUUAAAUAUAUAAUUAAAACUAAAAAUAUAAAAAUAAAAUAUUGACUUUUACUUCGUAAAAUCAUAUUAAUAAAAAAUAUAGAUUUAAAAAAUAGUUGACAAUACAAUGAGAGACAAUACUUUUAUUAUAAUUGUAUUUAAUUUUAAAAUAUUUUAGUUUUAAUUGUAUUUUUUAAUUUUUAAAAGUUUUUAUUGUAUUGUUGAUGCCAACUUAUGAAUUUUUCUAUUCAAUUUUAUUAAAAAAAAUUAGUGGAUUUAUAUAAUACAAAAUAUAAAAUCAUUAUUGAUUAAGAAAUUAUAAAUAUUUUAUUUAUUACUUGAGUAUCUUGAAAUUUUUUUCAAAAUGAUUUGUAUAUCAUAUUAUAUAAUAAAAAUAUAUUUAUUUGUAAGUACUUUUAUCAAAUAAAAAUGAUAAAUUAAUUUUUUUGAUAAUUUUAUUUAAUAUUAUGAUAAAGUAAAAAUGAUAUUUUAUGAAAUAAUUAUCCAACUCAUGAAAAAUUCAUAUAUUUAAAAACAUUUUUAAAUGAAUGAAUAUAAAAUUAAUUGAAAAAAUGAGUUUUGACUCACUAAUAUGAAAAUAUAUGAAAAAAAAUUUAAUUUUUUAAAAUUGGUAUUAUCUUCAUCUAUUUAACAAUAAUUUGAAAUACAUGUAUUUUUUAAUAAGUCAUAUAAUUAUUCCAUGAAAUACAUCUUUUACUUCUUUUCAUCGAGAACUAUCAACAAUUAGACUCCUCUAUAUAAAUGUUUUCCUUCAUUUCACAUUAUUUAUUUAUUAUUAAUAUUAUAUGUAUAUUUGUCGUUUUCAGAUUUUCUUGGCUACCAAUAAUUACAUCAAGAAUUAUAUAUAUAUAAAAAAUAAAUAAAUACACUAUGUUACUUUUUUUUUUAUGUAUUUCUGUGUCAUAAAUAGAAUAUGAAGCAAAAAACAAUAAAAAAAAAUGCCCAAAACAAUCCGUCUUUGGAAUUAACCUUGACUUGACAUAAUGAAAAAUUUUCUUAAAAAAUGUAGAAAAAAAUUAUAAACCUUCUUCUCAACAAACUCAAACUCAUCUAUAAUUCAUUAAGGUUUCACCUAUUUAUAAUGUUCAUACUCUUCAAAUUACCUCACUUUUGCUAUGAGAUGUUUGUUUAUGGAAAAAAAAAAGUCUUAACAUUUUUUAUAUAUUUUUUAUUAAAGAAAAAGAAAUCCUAAAUAACAAAAUAAUAAUAAUAAUAAUAAUAAUAGUAAUAAAUAAUAUCUAAAAUGAAGGGAAAUAAUUAAGUGGAUAAGUCUAAGUUGUUGAUUGAUGUUGAUGAUAAAUGACAUUUUAGGGAAUAAUUAGAUUAUUCAUUUGAAAAGUGCAAUGUAUUCCAAAUUAUUUUUAAAUAAAUGAAUAUAAUAUUGAUUUAAAAAUUUUGAAAUUUUUUUUUUUUCAUAUAUUUUGUGAAUCAAAACCCACCUUUUUUUUUUCUAAUAUAUAUUUCAUUCAUUUUCUAUUCUAUUUUAUUUUUUAUCUUGAGAUUUUUGUUUCUAUUAAUUUUCCAAUGUCUCUUGCUUUAAAGUAUCUAUCUACUCAUAAAAAUUUAGAAUCUCCUGUUUUGCAUCCUUACCGAGUGAUCCCGACCACUUAAUUUUUGAAAACAUUUUCGAAUUGUUUUAAAAAAUAAAGUUUUAUCUGAAAACUAAAAUAUAAAAAUAAUUUAAUAAUUUUUCAUGUUACGAUUGAUGGAGGUGAGACACAAAAUGAAAAUGUUUUUAGAUGUUAUAUUUAUUGUUUGGUUCUAAAAAAGUAUUUAAGAAUGGAAAAAAUGAUUUUUAUGUUUUCAUUGGAAUAUAAAGUAUAAAAAAUUAAUAUAAUUAAAAUUGGUUAGGAGUAAUAUUAUUUUAAAUUAUAUAAAUAUAUUUUCGAAAAGAAAAACAAUAACCAAAAUAAUACAAAUAAAAUAUUUAUUAAAAUAAAAAUAUUAUGGAGUGCAAUUUCAAAAAUAAUAUUUUUUAUGAAAUAAUAUUUUUCUACUUCCCUCUAAUUCUUUUGUCUUUAUCACAAUCUUAGAUAUGAUGGUGUUGAUGACAUUUAUUUUUUUAUUUUUUUAUUUUUUAAUAUUUCCAAACUUAUCUUUUUCUCCUUAUCCUUUCCAAACAUUCUAAACCUUUAUCCGAUCUUAAUCUAAGAUGAUAAGAUAGAAUAAAAUAAUUAAUAUUUUAUAAUUUUUUUUCAAUAUUUUUAAGGAAAAAAUUGUGUAACAUCAUAAAAGAGCCGUAACCAACCACCGAUCCGUUUCAAUUCGUGAGCGUAGCAGAAUGGCAGCUACGCUCUUCCACAUCACGCUCUUCUUUCUCCUAUUUUCCAUCGUCCAAUCACGGCUCUACACGUUGCCACAACCAAUCAUUCAACUCCCCCACCUCCCCCACCUCUUCUCUGUCGCCGACUACGGAGCCAUCGGCGAUGGCCUGCACUACGACACAGCCGCGAUCCAGGCGACAAUCGACGCCUGCCACUCCGCCGGAGGCGGCCAAAUCAGGUUCCCCCCGGGGACCUAUCUCACCGCCACGGUCUACAUCAAAUCCGGGGUGUACCUGGUGGUGGAAGAAGGCGCGAAGAUACUAGGCGGCACGAAGCUGGAGGACUAUCCGGAGGAGAGCAGGCGGUGGUACGUGUUGUUGGCGGAAAACGCGACGGAUGUGGGGAUAACGGGCGGAGGAGUGAUCGAUGGACAUGGAAUGAAGUUCGUGAAGAGGUUUGAGGAGGCGAAGAAUGUGAUGGUGAGUUGGAACGAGACUGGAGCUUGCUUGGGAGAUGAGUGUAGGCCGAGACUCGUAGGAUUUCUUGGUUGCAGGAAUGUUAGGGUUUGGAAUAUCCGCUUGAAUGAACCGGCCUACUGGUGGUGCGUAGUACACCCCCCCUCUCUCUCUCUCUCUCUCUCUCAGUCUCCGUUAUCUGACUUUUGCCAACUUGCACUUUUCUUUUUCUUUUUUUGCAUUUUCAUCCUCUUUAUUAUUUUAUGCCUUCGAUAACACAUUAAAAAAAGCUAAAUUUAUUUUAUACCAAAUGACUAACAAUUAAAUUUUAAAAUUAAAACAAUACAUAUCAGUUAAAAAUAUAAUAAGUUAUCAAAAUUUGAAAAUUUAUAUAGAAAUGAAUAGAUCUAAAUUUAUAUAGAAAUGCGAUGCACUGAAAGUAGGACACAAUAAUGGAAACGUGAGGAUUUAGGAUUCCAAUUAUGGAGGGCAUCGUGUCAGAGAGUGUGGUGGAUGAGUAUGGGUUACUAGUCACUUCUGACAUAACAGAUUGUGACUCAAAGUUGGAUCCACUUUGAUUAGGAAAAUCGCUGGAAGUGAGUGACACGUGGCGUGCAGGCAGUUGGUUUUUGGAAGGAGGCAACUGUCAUUUUGCUGAUAGCGAGCACCAUCUUGAUUCAGUGCUCCACAUACCUUUUAGAAUAAGAAAUCUGCAAUUUAUUUUUUAUUUUUCACGUUUAGAAAUAAUUUUAAACAAAGAGUCAACACCCUGUUGCUAAUAUUUUUUAUUCUAACAUUUAUUUUAAAAAUUAGAUAAUAUUCAACUUUUGCAUUUAUUAUUUUUAAAUUUAGAGAUACAAAAUAAAUAAAAUCAAGAUAUAAAGAUAUAAAUAAAUAAAUUUAGGUAUAAAUAAUGUGAUAUAAAAAGGGGAACGCCUCAAUACCUCAAUUGAAAGCCAUAAGAGUGUGUCAUCAUUAAACUGUUAAGACCAAGGGAAGCCACAAUAAAGAAGAGGAACAUUAUUUGCAUCCCUUCCUAGCUAUUUGUGAGCGCACUGCUUAGUUUGGGAAUGUGUGCUUGAUCUCUAAAUCUUGGAAUCUACCCACAGCCUCAUUAUUACAUUCCUGAACAUGGGUGUCCUGUUAGUGAUGGUAACCGCAUUAGCAUCCAAUUCAAAUAGUGAAAACUAUUGGAUCCAUUGCAGCUUCUUCUUUGCAUAGGGACUUGUACCAGUGUAUGCAACAUAUUUUCUUCUUGAAAAAUAUCUGGUCCAAUCAUCCAGGUUUCAACUGCAAUCUUUAACACUACCCUUUUGGGCCUACUUUUCCCUUGUGGAUCCAUGGAACUGUAGGAGUUACUGGUUUAUGUGUUCCAUGUUUAUUUGGCUUGGGUUUCUCUUUGCUUGGUAGUUAGUAGAGAUCCAAUCCCAGGCCUGGACCCAAAGGAGGGACUCGAUAAAUGCCAGACAUGUUUCCCACAACCAAUCCCAUUUGAUAAAAGUCAUCACAGGUAGAGCCAUGGGAGUAGUUCAGAGUUCACAGUUUCAUUAAGCUAAGAAAUCCUCUGAUUUUUACAGGAGCUCAAGUCAGACAUGCUUGACCAUGGCCAAAACAUUGCUGCUGUAUGGCAGUCAUAUAGUGAGUAACCAUAUCAGUAGGAAUCCAGAUCAUAUCUCCCCAAAGUAGUUUGCAUUAAUUCUAGGUUUGCUUCCUUUUAAUGUAAGGGCUCAAGACAUUGAUAUAACUGAUCCAAAAGAGCAAUUUUUUUCAGUUGUUUUCAUAGAAAAAUGGUACAAUUGAAUUAGAUUUAUUGCCUAUAAUCUAUUUUCAGUUGUUUGUCCAUGUUUUUUUUCCUUCUAUCCAUGCAUCUGAUAAAUCGAUUUUCUAAUUGCAGCCUGCACUUGGUAGGGUGUAAUAACACAUCAAUUCAUGAUGUUUCCAUUUAUGGAGACUUCAAUACCCCAAACAAUGAUGGGAUAGAUAUAGAGGAUUCAAAUAACACAGUCAUCACUAGAUGCAGCAUUAGCACAGGAGAUGACUCCAUCUGUCCAAAGACAUCCAAUGGUCCACUCUAUAACUUAACGGUCACAAACUGUUGGCUUCGAAGUAGAUCCUCAGCAAUCAAACUUGGCAGUGGUAGUUUUUAUGAUUUCAAGGGUCUGGUGUUUGACAAUAUCACCAUUGAUGAUUCCCAUAGAGGACUUGGAAUGCAGAUACGUGAUGGAGGUAACAGCAUUUUGGUUCCCUUUUCCCUCAGAUGAUUAGUUUUUCUGUGUUGAAUUCUCCAUUCACGCUAUGUUAAAACAGAAAUUGUACUUGAAAUUCCCUCAAUAUUUAUGUUUUUUAUUUCCUCCUAAUCCAACAUUUCCUGAAAAAUACACCUGUUGUACACACCUAUUGUCAAUAUCUUUCAAUGUAGAUUAACAGGCAGAAGCAUCUUUAGAGAGGCGAUCAAUUGAAAUCUCUAUGAUCUGUUUUCAGCUAAUUAUUAACCUUGGUGUAGGAGAUGUUAGUGAUGUUACCUUCUCCAACAUGAACAUCAAAACUAGAUACUACGAGCCAGUAUUAUGGUGGGGAAGAGCAGAGCCAAUCUACAUCACAACCUGCCCACGAGACUCCAACUCAAAAGAAGGUUCCAUCUCAAACAUACGCUUUAUCAACAUCUCUGCAACUUCUGAAAAUGGCGUCUUCUUGUCGGGUUCCAAAGCUGGACUCCUCAGCAACUUGAGAUUCCAGAAUGUGAAUUUCACUUACAGAAGAUGGACCAAUUUUCCAGAUGAUUUAGUAGACUACAGACCAGGAUGCCGGGGACUUGUCAAACACAGCCCAGCCGGUAUGAUCAUGGAACACAUUGAUGGUUUGGAGCUGGAAAACGUUAAUAUGAGAUGGUCUGGUGUUAUCCAAAACAAGAGGUGGAACAACCCUCUAGACUUCCUGCCUUCAACUGUGAAUAACAUUUCUUUCCUUAAUUUCCAAUCUGGUUCCGAUUCAGUGAGGGAGAUCAGAGCCCCGAGGGAAGGAUCUAUAGUUUAAAGCUAUUCUCAGCUUCAAUUUUUUGUGAAGUAUAGUCAGUGGUGCUUUCAUUUCACUGUACAGGGCAGAUUCUGCUUGUGUACUGAUCCAAGUUGAAAACAUUUUGUGUUGUAUAAAUAAAUGAUUUUGUUUUUCAAAAUUAUUUAGUGAGAUGAUUUUAGAAUAUAAUGUCUUUACUAAAUUUAAAAACAUUUAUGACAGGCAAGCCUCUUAUUGCUCCAAGCUAAAAAACCUUUCAUUUAGACUGUUGAGAGUGUGCCCAGACAAGUGCUAGGCAUAGUUCCCCGAGCAAGUUAAUCAACUCUCGGUGGAAGAGAAAAUGAUCUGGAAAAUCACCAGCUUGAUUUUCCAUCGUCCCAAACAAGUGCUUUCUUCCAUCUCCAACCCAUUUAGCCGCCAACGAAUCCUCCUCUCCACAUUCCCGGCAAAUUCACCAGAUUUGAAAACCUUAUGCUCCAACCGUCAACUAAAAGAGGCCCUGUUGGAAAUGGGCAUUCAAGGCCUUGAAGUGGAGUUUCAAGGCUACGAUUCAGUCUUAACUGAGUGUAUAAGCCAAACAGCCAUUAGAGAAGGCCAAAGGGUCCAUGCCCAUAUGAUCAAAACCUGUUAUGAACCGCCUGUGUACCUUAGGACUAGGUUGAUUGUUUUGUAUAAUAAGUGUCGGUGUUUAGGUGAUGCAAGGCGGGUGCUCGAUGAAAUGCCGGAAAGGAAUGUAGUCUCUUGGACUGCGAUGAUCUCAGGUUAUUCUCAGAGGGGUUAUGCCUCAGAAGCCUUGCAUCUUUUUGUAGAGAUGCUAAUGUCAGGUACUUUUUCCCUUUUUUUUUUUUUUUUUUCUUUUUUAAUUUUUUUAUUUUAUGUUCCAUUUAUGAUGCGCGAUAUGUUGGAGGAAAUAUCAGUGCAAGUGUGGAAGAAGAAUAACAUGAUUUCUUCUUUCCAUUUGGAAAAAUGAUAAGAACUUGUCAAAAUAAUGACUUUUUUUCUUUCUCUACGAGGGCCUGAUAUUAAUAGUCCAUCAAUUGGAUGAGCAUUUUUCUUAGCAAAAUAAUUGUAACUGGAUUCAUAAACCAGUCCCAAGUGGAGAUUAAUUGAAUCAUUAUAUUUAGUAGCUGGACAUAUUAUAAAAAUAUGUGGGGUAUUUGUCAACCACAGGGAAUGGUUCCAUUUUUUUUUCUGCAUAUCAUAAAAUUCUAUAUAAAGUGGUGUUAGACCUACAAUAAGAACACUUCUGCAAUCUAGAAGUGGUUAUUAUUGUUUGUAUUAAGUGGAGACAUUUUACAACUGCUAUUAGAUAGUUGUGUCUGCUAUGGCAAGAGAAAUGGAAUGAUUCUAUUUCCAUGGAUUUUCAGAAUCCCUCCUUGAGUAUAACUAAAAGUCCAUGAGGUAAUCUUAGAUGGGCAAGGUUGAUUUUUUUUUUGGUUCCUGCUAUAUAUACAUCAAAACUUGUUUGUCAUUGCUAUUAUGGUUUCUAAGUCCAGAUUGUAACAUGGAAUGAUUGCAGGUACAGCCCCUAAUGAGUUCACUUUUGCAACGGUGCUUACUUCUUGUACAAGCAGUUCUGGGUUUCAGCUAGGAAGGCAAAUCCACUCUCUCGUUAUCAAGACCAGUUUUGAAUCACAUAUAUUUGUUGGGAGCUCACUUCUGGACAUGUAUGCGAAAGCUGGUAAGAUUUGUGAAGCUCGUCGAGUUUUUGAUGGUUUGCCAGAAAGGGAUGUUGUUUCUUGUACUGCUAUAAUCUCAGGCUAUGCACAGCUGGGUCUUGAUGAAGAGGCAUUAGAUUUAUUCCGUAGAUUGCAGAGGGAGGGAAUGAGGUCAAAUUAUGUUACUUAUGCUAGUGUUUUAACUGCAUUAUCUGGACUUGCUGCAUUGGAUCACGGCAGACAAGUUCACAGUCAUGUUCUUCGGGCCAAACUGCCCUUCUAUGUGGUUCUUCAGAAUUCUCUGAUCGAUAUGUACUCAAAAUGUGGAAGCCUCACAUACUCAAGAAGGAUCUUUGAUAGCAUGCCCGAGAGAACUGUCAUCUCAUGGAAUGCCAUGCUUGUGGGAUAUAGCAAACAUGGUCUGGGAAGAGAGGCUGUUGAGCUUUUCAAAUUGAUGAAGGAAGAAAAUAAAGUCAAACCUGAUAGCGUCACUUUUUUGGCUGUUCUAUCUGGUUGCAGCCAUGGAGGGAUGGAAGAUAGAGGGCUUGAAAUUUUUUAUGAGAUGGUGAACCAGAAAGAUGGAUUUGAGCCAGAGAUUGAGCAUUAUGGGUGUGUUGUUGAUUUGUUUGGGCGUGCAGGCCGCGUGGAAGAGGCUUUUGAAUUUAUCAAAAAGAUGCCUUUUGAGCCAACUGCUGCUAUUUGGGGUUCACUUUUAGGUGCUUGUAGGGUUCACCAGAAUGUUCACAUUGGGGAAUUUGUGGCUCGUCGACUCUUAGAAAUUGAGUCUGAAAAUGCUGGGAAUUAUGUUAUUCUUUCCAAUUUGUAUGCUUCUGCAGGGAGAUGGGACGAUGUAAGAACGGUCAGGGAGUUGAUGAAGGAGAAGGCUGUGAUAAAGGAGCCUGGGAGAAGUUGGAUUGAGCUUGAUCAAACUCUUCAUACUUUUCAUGCAAGUGAUCGAUCCCAUCCAAGAAAGGAAGAGGUAUUUGCCAAGGUGAGGGAGUUAUCAAUCAAGAUCAAGGAAGCUGGUUAUGUUCCUGAAUUGAGUUGUGUUUUGUAUGAUGUGGAUGAUGAACAGAAGGAAAAAAUACUCCAAGGUCACAGUGAAAAACUGGCAUUAGCUUUUGGGCUGAUUUGUACACCUGGAGGAACACCAGUCCGGAUCAUAAAAAACCUUCGGAUUUGUGUUGAUUGCCACAAUUUUGCCAAGUUUUUGUCAAGGGUUUAUGGUAGAGAAGUGUCUUUGAGGGAUAAGAACCGCUUCCAUCAUAUCGUUGGAGGAACCUGUUCUUGUGGAGAUUACUGGUGAGCUUUGACGAUUCUUUGACAGGUGAAUCUUCUCUGUUUGUACAUUAGUUUCUGGUUUCAGCAUAUCACAUUAUUGUUUCCUAUAGAUUAUGAGAUGAGCAGACAAACCAUAUCUCUGAAACAGCAAGAUGGAACUCAAUAUACUGACAUAUGCCAUGAGAAAUGAGUUGUCUUCAAUAACAAAGAGUUACCAAGUGGAGAAGCUUUCAGAUUCUUUCUGAUUGGAGAAAUUUGGUUUUGAUGAAUAUAAGACACAUAAGACAAACUGCAGUUUCCUGGUGAGAAGAUUCUAAACUGGACCUUGAGGCAGUAAAGGGUGAUUAAGAUCAUCCUGCUGCAGAUGAUUUUUCUUGUUUCUAAUGCAAGGUUUUCUGAGAAAACUCCAUGAUCUUGGCUUGAUCAUUGCAGCAACUUGGAAGCCCAGACAUCAGUUUUGCAGAUAAAGAUAUGAAGAGCAGCAUAAUUAUGUUGAUGCAGGCUAGAUUUUUUGUUUUCUCUAAAUUUCCCAGCAUCCAAGCAUUUUUAAAAUACUGAGCUUUUGUGUAGGAUCCCAGUGGAAAUGGUUGGGAAUGUUAGCGGUUAGAGGAGAAGUAGAACGAAAUCAGUAUGAUAUGAUCUUGUAGGCAGUGAAUUCUGUCAAAAUUUGAAAUUUCAAAUAAAAUUGCUCUAUAACAAUUAUAAAACAUUAAGAGUAUAUUUGGUUCAAGAAAAUUUGAGUCAAUGGAAAAAAAAAGAAAGAGAAAAUUAGUAGAAAAGAACAAAUAGAGAAAAAUAAAAAUUGAUUUAGACUAUAUUUGGUUUUUGUAAAAAUUUAUAUAUUUUAAAUUAUUUAAUUUUUAUAUAGAAGAGUUAAAAAAGAAAUGAGUUUAAAGUAUUAUAUACCAAUAAUUUGUUAACUUUAAAUAUAUUUUUUACUUCCCUUCUAUUUUUCUUUACUUUUAUUUUUCCUCUCUAUUUUUUUCCCUAAUCUUUUCCCUUAAAUUUUUCAAAAAUAAAACAUAGUUUUUUUAUAUGUUAUUAUAACUUUUUUAUUUAUUUAUAAUUUAAAAAUAUGUAAUUUUUUAAUUAAUUUUAAAUAAAUUUUAAUUUAUUUUUAUAUAUUUUUGUUAGUAUAAUCUAGAGAAAAUCAUUUUUCUUAAUAUAUUUUUUUUGAAGCUAAACAUAACCUAGGAGUUUUCUAUUGGUUUUUCCUUGAUACUAUCGGGGAUGUAAUUAAUUUAAUAAUUUAAUAUGAUGAAAUAAUUUAAUUUAAAGAAUUAAAUAUAUUUAAUAAAAUAAUUUAAUAUUAUAACUCACAGAAUAAAUCAUCUUUUCUAAAUUCCAAAUAUUUUUUUCUUUUUUCUUGCUUCUCUCUAAACAUCUCUAUUUAAUAUCAAUCAAUUAAACAUAAAUAUAUAAAUUUAAUAGUUUUAAAAAAACUUUUAAAAAAUAAAAACUAAUAAGGUCAAGUAUUUAUUUUUCUAGUUAGAGACUAGCGUAUUGGGGCUAACAUUGGAUUCGCUCGAGGAAUUACUGGUUUAGUUAAAUAUCUAAUACAUUUUUAGAUUGAAGAAGUCAUUUUUUGAUAAGAGACUAUGAGUUUUUGUGGUUUGCAUGCGUCCUAGUUAGAACUUUUAAGGGCCAAUGUAAUUCAUUACAUUGAAUUUACAUUAUAGGCGAAAAAAUUAUCAUCUCCAUGAAUUUAAAUCUUGAGUUAUUGCGAAAAAAAAUAAAAAUGAAACAAUGAUAUUAUGGAAGUAAAUAUUGUGGCACACCUUUAGCCAAUUUGAUUUGAUGGAGGGAUAAACUAGUGGCUCUUUCAUUGUGUAGACAAGGUUGGUUAGAUUAACCCUUUUUUUUUUUGUAUAUUAUAUAUUCACCUAUGCCGCUUUCUUGAUUGCCUCCACAUCACGCAAAUUUAGUUAAUUAUUAUUAUUUUUUAAUGUGUUGUAUUUACUAUAAUCUCAUUUCUUUCUAUGGAGAAGGGGUUCUAUUUAUAGUAAUAUUGAUCAUUUAUUCGACGUCAAAGACAUUUGGAAUUUCAUUUCUAAUGACACUUUUUUAGUUAGGGAUAAGAAUGUGGUAAAUUAUUUCAUAUAUUUUGAUAUUGAAAAUUCGAUGUUUGAGAUUGAUAACAAUCAAUCUUUUCAGAGUGAAUUAGAAUGUUUUUUAUUUUUAUUUAUUUUUUUUUUUAUAGUUAUCGAAAUGCUAGUUAUCUGAAUAAUGUAUUUAAGAGUAAUCAUCCCCACUAUGAUAGUUAUAUGCAUAAUACUAAAUAUAGUUGAAAUAAGUACAUUCAAAUAGAUAUAAGGUUUUAUUUAGUACACGAAAAUGCAUAUCAUGAUUCUUUUAUCUAUCAAUAAUUGCAAGCAUUGCAAAUGUAAGAAGUAGACAAUUAUCUUGACAAUAAUGAGUCAAACUAGUAUUUGUAGUGAAUCCCCGUGUUAAGUAGUUAUGUAUUAUAAUAGUAGUUAUGUAUUAUGAUAGGAACUCCAAUUCUCCGAUAAAUAUAACCUUUUUAAGCGUUAUUAGACUUAAAAUAGUUUUAUACUUUCCAUUAAAUUAACUUAAGAAUAUUGAAUUCUCAUCCUCAUCCAACACAACUUUAAAAAAAUGCAUGAUGCGAUUUUUAGAAUUUGAUAAACUUAAAUGAUAUUUAUUAUUAGAAGAAGGGGCCCAAAUGAUUUAAAAAUUAUUAUUUUUUUAAUAUCUUAGUUUUUUAAUUAAUUUUUAAAAAUCAUUAUACUUUUAACAUAAGUUUGUAACAGUUUUUAUCUUUUGUAUAAAAAUUGCUAUUUUUUUAUUUUUAAAAACUUAAAACAGAAAGUAUUAAAAAGUUCAUUUUUACAAAUAUUUUUCUUAUUUGAAACGACGUCGUUUCAGAAAUUUAAAUGUCCGCAAGAAGGAGGAGGAUAAUUAAAUAGAUCCUAACUAGCUGCUCCUCAGAAACGACGCCGUCUUGAUCUGACUGCAACUCCAGACAUUUGCCCUCGCUCUGUGUCUACUUUCUCAUCGACCAAACAUCGAAAUGCCUUCUGCUAAACCCUUCACCUCAGCCGCGGGCGCCCUCCGAAACCGCCUUCUCCCCAGCCUCCGCACAAGAGGCGGUGGCGAAUCAGGCCCAAGUCGGUGGACAAGCCCCGGCCAUCAGGAUCGCCCGAAUGGCUACCUAUUCAACCGGACUCCGCUACCACCCGGACAGACGCGACAAUGGGAAGAUUGGGAACUUCCUUGCUACGUCACCUCAUUCCUCACUGUCAUCAUCCUUGGCGUUGGCCUCAGUGCCAAGCCCGAUCUCACCAUCGAAACUUGGGCUCACCAGAAAGCUCUUGAACGCCUCGCUUCCGAGUCAUCUGGAUCCGAGUGAUUUCAAAUCGGGGCUCGGAUAAUUGGGCUUUCCCCACUCCAUCGAUGGGCUGGUCAUGGUGAUUAUGUUGAUAUGAUGUGGUUCAAUAAGGGUUUCAACUCUUGAAAAUUUGGUACCUUUUAGAGAUUUGUUUCUGUAUUUUUACUGUUAACUUUUGGAUUCUUUCAAGAAUCCUGUUUCAAGAGGUUUAAGAUUUUCUUGAUUGAAUUUACGGGUUUGUUAUCUUUGUUUGGUUUUGGGAAAAGCUAGGAAAAUUACAAGGGAAGAAAUUUGAAUCCUAAUCCAACUCUGCCUAAUGCGCUGAUUCGAUCAUUUAGCUUAGCUGGGUUGAUAUGGUGUGGUUCGGGAAAAUCCUCACUCUUGAAUUAACCGUGUUAAAGCUCAAUUGCUGCAUUUUUAGUGUUAAUUUGGGUGCUUGAAAUGAGAAAUAUAAAUAUCUCUUGACCUCGAUUGAUCGGGGUUUUGUUGGGCCUUUUUUUUUGUUGCCGAGAAAAAGUUACGGAAAAAUUGGGAAUGAAAGACAGGAAACCUCCACUGAGAUGUACUGCAUACCAGGUCUAGUUAGUUUUCUGUGUUCAAAUGUUGCAGUGAUUUGUGAUCUAGGAAGGGCUUACUGACCUGCCCUUUUGGGUUUUCAGUUACUUGUUAAACUAAUUCAAUGAGGUCCUAACUGUUACUGCAAUCUUCUCUUUCAACUUGGAUGUUUGACAUGAUAAUACAUGGAGAAUUUUGUUGUGCUCCUGGCUCAAUUUUAUGUUUGGAUGACAAUAGAAUGUUGGAUUGGUUGAAAAAUUGAAAAUUAGACAUCAAAAUCAAUUUCUUUAGGCAUUAGUUAUUUUAUUUAAAUGGACAUUGGGCAUGAUAACUCCUUGAGAGAUUUACAGCCAUAUUAUCUCAACUUAUGGCCAUUUUCUACUGGGUUGUGGGUAGUACUAGCAAGUUUAUGACAAUUGUAUUAUAUUUGUUUUUGAUUUCAUAAAAAUAAAAAAUGGGGUUGCUGAAGCUUAUUCACCCAUUAAUGAUCCUUAGUGUUUCAAACUUUGAUGUUUUUCCCAUUGAGGAUUUCUUAUAUAGUUUAUAACAGGCUUGACAGAAAUGUCUUCCUCAAUUUUGUGUUGCUAGUAGGCUGUUAAAUGACAUCAAGAAACUCAGUUUAUCACCUGGGUGAUCUCUAGGUUACAUCAUGAAGGUUACCUAUUGUCAAAACCACAAUCAUGCAGAUAAGCUUGCAUUUAUGAAUAGAAGUUGAAAAACCUAUAAUGAUGUAUUGUACACUUCCACCUAAUAACAAUGAAGGUGUGGAGUCUGUGGACUUGUGAUUAAGGUAGCACUCUUGCAAACGGGAUUAUAUCCUACAUGAUUGCAAGAAGUAGGAGCAAGUUUGUGACACUUGUAUUCUGAACUAGUAACAAAGGCAGUGUAGAUGUAAGGACAAAGAAUGAUGUGCCCUUGCGUGAUAGUGUUUUCUAUGUAUUGUAGUUGUCCAUGACACCAUGUAUUAGAGUUGUAUCACAUAGCAAGGAACUUUAUGUCGCAAGAACUUCAUUUCUUCCACUGUUUUGGACUUUGUGAGAGAUGAGGUUUUCUACAUGAUUGUAGGCGGUAUGAUAAAUUAGGAAUGAGGGUUUAGAUGACUUAUUUGAGUUGGUUGCUUAUGUGGUUCAAGGCCAUUUCAAGUUUAAGAAUCAAUUUGGACAAAAGUGAGUUAAUUCUUGUGGGGAGUGUGGAUAAUUUAGAUGACUUGGCCUUGGAUUGAGUUGUGAGGUGGGUGUUCUUCCUUCCCCUUACUUGAGUCUUCCUUUGGAGGUCCUUUUUAAAUCUAUGACAGCUUGGGAUAGGGUGGAGGAAAGGUUUCGCAAAAGGCUAAUCAUGUGGGAAAGACAGUAUAUCUCAAAAGGAGGGAGACUUACUUUGAUUCGUAACACUCUUUCCAGUUUAGAAGGAUUUUUUUUUGUGGGGUGAUGGGGCACUUGUGCAAAAACCACGCUUAGUAAGGUGGAUGACAGUCUAUUCAGGUAAAAAAGGAAAGAAGAGGGAGGGGGGGGGGGGGGGUUUGGUUGGUUUGGGCGUAAAGUGUAUUUUAGUGAUGAACAAAGUUAUCCUUUGUAAGUAAAGUUGGCACUUUGCCAAUGAAAGAGUGGCGUUUUGGAAGCAAGUUAUUAGCCAGAAGUAUGGUGAAUAUGAAAGAGGUGGCGUUCUUGUGAGGGAUAGGCAUGGUGUUGGCCUUUGGGAAACCAUAAGAAAGGAUUGUGGUCUUUUGAAUAGUAGAAUAUUUUUCUUAGUGGACAAUGGUCAAAUAGUAAGAUUUUGAAAGGACAAGUGUUGUGGAGACAAAUUGCUAUGUAUUUCCAUCCUCUCCUUAUUUGCCCUAGUUGCUUCUAAAGAAGCGUGGGUAACAGACGCUUGGAACUCAACAGUUGAAGGGGGUUGGAUAAGCUCCUCGCUUCUCUAGGCCAUUUAAUGAUUGGGAGGUGGAAAGUGCAGAGCGUUUUUUCCUGAAACUUCAAGACAAAAGGAUGUAUAGACAACUGAAUGAUUGGGAGCUGGAAUCCUUGGUUUAUUAGACAACUGAAUGAUUGGGAGUUAGAGGAGGUAGGCAUCUUUUUUGAGAGGCUGUAUGAUCAUGCUAUUUCUAUGGAUACUGAGGAUUCGGUGAAGUGGGUUGACACAAAGAGUGGUAUUUUUUCUGUUAGGUCCUUCUACUCCUCCUUGGCUAGUAGGGGAGUGGAUCAUUUCCCUCACAGUAGAGUCUGGAACUCCUAGGUCCCUGUUAGAGUCAACUUCUUUGCUUGGGAGGCAACUUGGGCUAAGAUAUUGACUCUAGAUCAGCUCAAAAAGAGGGGGUGGAAGAUGCCUAAUAGAUGCUACAUGUGCAAAGAGGAAGAAGAAACAAGUGUUCAUAUUCUUUUUCAUUGCCUGGAAUCUUGUAUACUGUGGCAGCUCAUUUUUGCUUGUUUGGUGUUCAUUGGGUGAUGCACUCUUUGAUGAGAGGUUUACUCUUGAGUUGGGGAGGCUUUCGUGUUGGUAGAAAAAGGAAAAAGGCUUGGAAGGUUGCUUCGUUAUGCCUUUUUUGGUCUAUUUGGAGGGAAAGAAAUAUGAAAGCCUUUGAGAAUUGUGAAUGUUCAGAUCAUUCUUUAAAAAGUUCUUUUUUUGUAUCUAUUUUGGGAUUGGGUAAGAUUGUAUAUUGGGGAGAGCUCCUUGUCGAUGCUUGAUUUUGUAGAUUGGUUAGGAGCUCUGUAAGGUGCGGUUGUUUUUGUGUGUCUGCUCCUUUUUUUUUUGUUUCUUUGUAUACAUUGUGUAUACUUUUUUAAUACAAUUACUUUUACCUAUCAAAAAAAAGGGAUAAGGAAGAUAGGGUGGUUUGAACGGAUUCGAAGAGCAAUAAGUUUUUCAAUCAAAUCCCUUUAUUUCACUUUGGAGCCUGGUGACCCGUUAGUGUUCCUGUAGAGCAUCAUCUGGAGUUUUUGUGUGCCACCUAAGGUAGUUUUUUCGCUUAGGAGGCAACAUGGGGGAAAGCCUUAACUUUGGAUCAAGUCCACAUGAGGGGGUUUUCUUUGACCAAUAGAUGUUUUCUUUGCCAUUCUAAAAAAGAAACCGUUGAUCACAUUUUGGUCUACUGUGCAAAGACAAGGAUUCUGUGUCAGCUGUUUUUUACUCUCUUUGGAGUGUCAUGGGUUCUUUCAUCUUCAGUUAAAGAUGCACUCCCUUGGUGGCAUGGGUCAUUCUUGAGUAAAGUUCCCAAAAAGCCUUGGAAGGUUGCCUCAUUAUAUAUCUUUUGGACUGUUUGGAAGGAAAGGAACAUGCUAGCUUUUGAUAAUACAAAGCUUUUGGUCCAAAAGAUGAAAAACUGUUUUGUUUGUAAUUUAUGGUCUUGGUAUAGGAUGUCUAUAGAUGUGGGCCCUAUGUCUCUUUUAAGCUUUAUUGAUUGGCUAGGUUCUAAGUGAGGGCAGGUGUUGUUUUUUGUUCUCUCCCUCCCCCGCUUGGUUGAGCCUUUUGGCAGCCGGUGUAUGCUUCCUCUAUACUUUGGGAAGCUGUUUUGGCGUUUCCUUUCCUUUUCAUAUGUACCCUUUGUUUUACCUAUCAAAAAAAUGAAUUAGGAAAGAAGGCAAUGGUGAUGCAAGGGCAAGGAAGCAUGCACCGCUGUGUGAAAGUGUGUUAUACAUAUUAUAGUUUUCCAUGUAUUAGCGUUGUAUCACAUAAUUUAUUUUUUAUUUUUUACCCACUGCUAUGGAUUUUGUAAAAAUAACAAUUGCAGUUGCUGAAGCUCAUUUACCAUUUUAUGAUCCUCUGUUUACUUAUUUUCUGCCACUAUGCACAUAGAAGAUUCCUUACAUACUACCCUAACAGGCUUGAAAAUUUUUCUCACUUGCUAGAUUUGUAUUGCUUGUAGGCUGUUAAAUCAUGGUGAGAAACUCAGUUAAUCACCAGGGUGAUUUAUAGGUCAUCUUGGAAAUGUUACCAUGUGUUAAAAUGACAAUCAUGCAAAUGAGCCUGUAGUGAACCUGACAUUGAUGUAUAGACAUCCUAAUACAUAUAAUAGAGCACUGUGGACUUCUAUCUUAUAUGAUCAAUGCAUGAUUCUUGGAAAUGAGGCAGGACUUUGUGAAUCAAGCAACUUAUUCCUCACAUAUUCCAGACAACCGGUUUGCUACUCAUUAUUUUGUUUACCCUUGUAUCCUUGUUUGCCUUUUAGGAAUGCAUGCAUAGGCUGCAAGCUUAUUGUGCAUUUCAAUGUGGAGUUGUUUCUUUAUAGUAUCCCUCUUUUACUGUUUAUUCUAAAUGGAUUGACACAUAAGGAUGUUUUAUGUUGCUUGUAUUAUGGCUAGUAUUUCUCAACUUGGUUAUCAAGUUCAAUUUUUCCACUCUCAAUGACACUUGCAGUUGUUUGUGUCUAAAUUUCAGAAAGGUGUCACAUCCUGCAUCAAUUACCAUUGUCAAAGUAUUGUAUUUUGUCUUUCAUUUUUUCAUGUCUUGUUUCCAAUGACAAGACGGACAAGCUCAUUUCUAAGGAUAGCUUGAUUUGGAUGAUGGUAUUUAGGGUGCAUUUUAUGGUUGAAAUAUCCUGCUGUUGUAUGUAAUGUCAUGCUGCUGUCACAAUGCAGUUGGUCUUUAUAGAUUAAACCUUAGCGUAUGUCAAACUGAUUGGAUUUUAGGAGGGAAAGAAAGGCGAAUAUAUCAAAUUGUUGGAUUACCAUGUGAUAGACUUAAAUGAUGAAUUUGUACGAGCUACCUGGUGUUCUGAAUUUGUUCUCUUGUUUGGUAAAAACUUGAUGUGCAAACUGCUGUCAGUGCUGAGAUUAGCAUUGUUGACUGGACUGUGGCCAUAAAUGAAUUUUGGGAUGGAUAGAUGUAUGACACUUUGUGGAUUUGAUUGAGUAGUUUAGUAUGUUUCUUGUUUUUUUGUUUAUGCUUUGUGGCUUUUUUUUUUGGGAAGGGGGGGGUGGGGUUGGUCAUAAGCUGGUCCUUUUACUUUCAAAGUAGCCUUUUGAAUUAGGUGUGAUUUAAAUUAAGAGGCUACUGUAUCGGGGUUGGAUGCUCGUAAGGUAACUAGGAAUGGGACUAUUAUGCCCAGCAGGGUCUUUGUACCUGCAGAGAUCUGGAAAUCCCAAAUUCGUGGUCUGGUGAACUAUGGCUUUGGAGGUCUGAUCAUUAGUGAUCAACAGAAAUUAGAUGUUUUUUAAACAUUUACAGUGCAAUGAAUGGCUUUUCCUUCAGUCUUGUUUGGAUACCUUUCGGUCUGAUGAAGAUUCAACAAUCCUUUGCCAUUCAUUCCUUUUGAGAAGAGAAGAGAAAUAAUGCUGGAACGUUUUGAAUAGUUUGUAUACUAUAACAAUAUAACAAAUGCACCCAUAGUAUCAAUCCCAGCCUAUAUUGGAGUUGGAACCAGAAUGCAAUGGAUACUAUUACCAGAAAAUAAGAAUUAAAAUAUUUAAAAAAAAAAUUAGUGUUGGAAAAGGGCAUCUCACUUUUAAGGAUUAAACCAUUGGAAAUCAAAGGAACAAGAUGAACUAGGAUUCAGCACUGAUUAAAUGACCCUGGUCAGAAGCAAAGGUCCCAAGUCCCAAACUAUUGGUUUGUGCCAGACGGUAAGCACAAACUGCAGAAUAAAUUAUGAUAAAAAUGCUUAAUUUCCUACGGCUGCUAUGGAUUUUGUAAAAAUAACAAUUGCAGUUGCUGAAGCUCGUUUGCCCUUCUAUGACCCUCUGCUUAUUUAUUUAUUUUCCAUUAUGCACAUAGAAAGUUCCUUAUGUACUGCUCUAACAGGCUUGAAGAAUUGUCAUACUUCCUAGAUUUUGUAUUGCUUGUAUGGUUAAUCACAUCAAGAAAUUCAGUUAAUAACCAGGGUGAUUUAUAGAUCAUAUCUUGAAGGUUACCAUGUGUUGAAGUCAGAAUCAUGUAAACGAGCCUGUGGCAAACCUCACAUUUAUGGAUAGACAGCCUAAAACCUAUAAUGGUCCACCUUCGACUUCUAUCCAACAUCAAUUAAGGCAUGAUUCUUAUUCACAAGGCACGACCCUUGUGAAUGAAGCUACUUUUUCUCCACAUGUUUAGGAUACCAUUAUGGCUAAUUAUUAUGUUUACCCUUGUAUCCUUGUUUGCUAUUUAAAUGUGCUGAGGAAUGCAUAUGCAUAGACUGCAAACUUAUUAUGAGAUUUAAUGUGGAGUUGUUAAUCAUAAAAAAUAUAUUUAGAGCUGGCCUAAAAUGGUGCAUAUGAGAUGGUAGAAAAGUUUGCUUCUAAACAGACUACUAGGUUUAUAUGUUACCUCUUAUUUCUUUUUGUGGAUGAAAAUAGUUUACGUUACACCAUUCGCUAGAGUAGUCCAAUUGGUCAAGGUUGAGAAGGGUGGUCUCAAUAAGUAGUACAUGGUCUUGGAUUUGAAUCCUGUCAUUGAUGAUACCUUGAAUUUCCCGGCGCUAGUUGUCAUUUCUUUCCUUAAUUUAUCUUGAUAUUUUGAUGUUGAGAUUUUCUAGUAAAUUCCUUCCCAAAUGUUUUGCAUUUUACGGGUGCCCAAAAAACACACACAUUGAUUAAAAAGCCUCAAUACCCCUUUAGUCAUACUUCAGGUCGUUCCAGAGAUUAGUUGGUAUUUAAUUGAACUUGGUCUUUUAAUGAGCUCCCCGUCCUUGAUGAAGGCUUUAUUGCACUCAACAUAUUGUCAUGUGUUUCUCAAAUGGGCCAAUUCUUGUGAUUAGAUGUUUUUUCUUUUGGAGCUUUCAUCUAUCAAUCCCAGGCUUUAGAGGUCAAAUAAGGGUUUAUCUAUAUCUAAAGAAGUUGGAUUUAGUCUUAAAAUUAAUUUGACAGUAAUUUUAGAAAAUAAUUUUAACUUUUUUUUAUUAUCAAAACACUUGUUUUCAAGUAAUAAAAAGAUUAAAAAUGCUUCUUAGGAUUAUUUUCAGACAAACUUUUGAAACAAGUAUCAUUGUUUUCUUUCAAACAGGCAAGGAUUCAUGAUUCAUAGGAUUGGAGGGUGGGGCUUGUCCUACCAUGCUAUUUCAUUACCUCCUCCAGACCUCAUCAACAAACCCAUAGGCUUAGCAGAUAUCAUAUCAACAUCAUCAAAGUCAUAUAUGGAUAUAGUUGCUUCUAAUGUCAUGAGUCUCUCUUUGUCCCAAGCUUUCUUGUCUUUUCCCUCUUUCCCACGCUAAUCUUUUGAGUUUGUUACCUGCUACCAUGUUGGCCAACUUGUGAUUUUUGACCGUCUCCUAAUCUCGGAAUCAUGUGGACGUUGCUUCUACUCCAAACACCUUUCUCCCCACAAUCUCUAGUCUAUAAAAUAUGGAUUAGUGGACAAAACACAUCUUUAUGCCAGCCAUUGCUUCACCAUUCAUCAUAGUUCUGUUUACUAAUAUUAUAAUUUGGCAUGCCCAAUCAUGUGAGCCCAACCGGCUUCUCGUGAUGUUUUGUCUGAGAUGCGUUUCUUUUUCUGAACCACAGAUGACCCCAAAGGCUACAGAAGGGCACGCUUUUCUUCUAUGUAUUUAUUAUGAUCCCUUCUUUUGUGUUUUACAAUCCUAGGAUUACUAUUUGAUUUAAAUUAAUACCAAUGUUUGAAUACAAGGCUGCUUACUGCCUGGCUUUUUAAUUACUAUGAUCACUGGAAGCCCCAGUUGUGGUGAAAUCCUAUGAUAAUAAUUCUCGUACUCCUUUUAGCCACGUGGCUUUUUCACUUUUACUGUUGGGCUUGCUUAGUGCUUUUGGUUCAGUGUUUGAUAUGCUCAAUUUUAAUGUUGGAGUUGGUGUAAAUUAUAUAAAAAUUUAUAUCCUAGACCUCAAAAUUUAAACUUCCUUUUUCUCCACACGACCACUUUGUUUAGUGUGAAGUCAUUCUUAAACUAUGCUUUCCACCCUAUUACAUCAAAUCCCCCACAAAAAAUAAAGCUAAAGGAGUAGUUGGAUGCUGACGUGGCAAGUGCAUUACCAAUCAGUUUGCAUUUAAGUCUCCAGGUGGACACCGCUAUUCAUUACUUAAAUUGACUAGAUGCCGUUGCGUUGGGAUCCACUUGGAAAAAAAUAGAAAGGUUGGCUCUCAACUUUUGACUAGGGUGGUGGAUUUAUGGACAAAAUUGACCUCUCACAUCUGAAGCUUCUGUCACAUCAAGUAAGGGUAAUCUCGUCAUAAUAAAUUGUGUAAGGUGUGUCGUUUUCUCGAUCAUUCACAAAAUUUAAUAGAAUUGGAAUAUCUAGGCCCAUCCAAUGAAUCUCCCAAAAAUAAAUUCGAAAAAAUAAAAUUGUGUUUGGAUAAGAAAAAAAUGAUUUUUUUAAAGUGGGGGUGGUGAGCCCAUGCAAAUGUGUCUCUACUGUGUAAAGGUCAAGGCAAAGGCAGAUUUGUUGUUCUUUUGAGGCAAUUGGAGUGGUAGAAAAGUUUUUAGUACGUUGGUCUUUGUUUUUUUACCAAAUAGAAACAUUUUGGAUAUUCUUUUUUGAAAGAAAAUGGUUUUUGGAGUAUUUGUUUUAAAAAUACGAUGUUAAUUUUUACCUUUUUUUUUUUAAAAAAAAAUUCUAAAUAUUAUCAAAAAAUUAUUUUUGGAAACUAAUCACAAAAAAUUAUUUCGCUUUUGAAAAUGUUCCAAACAAAUACUAGAUAUUUCUAAAAUAUUUUAAAAUUAAUUAAUAGAUUCUUAAUAAAACCAAAUAACUUUUUCUUUUUAUUUAAAAAUAUUUCACAAGUAUAAUUAAAAAUUCAAAUAGAAUAUAAUAACUCCUCGUUACCCCAUCACUAGAGUGACAUUGUCCCAUUACUAGAAAAAACAAAGCGUUCUCUUGUUCCCCCUCUGUUCGUGGGGUCCAUUUCUAAUUCAGUCCAAAUUUCGGAAACAUUUAAUAAUUAAUAAUUUUGUUGCCAUUCAUUUCAUUUAAUACGUGGCCCAAUUAGAAAUGUUAUAUUCUAUAGCCAAGUUUCUUCAAAUUUACUAAUUAUUUCUUUAAUUUAAAAUAUUAUAAUAAUUAAAAUUUAUUUUAAAUAGGAAAUUUAACGCGUUUAAAUAAUUGGAAAUCAUAGCUAAAAACCAAAAAAAAUAUGUGUUUGGAGCGCACUAGCAACAAGAUAGGCGCCGAUCAAAUCAGCCAGCUGGGGUCAAAAUCAAGUAUUUCAAAGUCACCAUGGUCAAAGGCUCUUAGUGAUUUCGGCUUCGAGAGCAAUUAUAAAUCGGUAAAGAUUUUUAUUUUAUUUUCUUUUAAGGGUAAAAGUGAGUAAGCGUAACGUGACCGGGAACUACCGGUCAUUUUCGUCCACCGACAGACUUUCCCCGUCACCCGAAACUGCUACUCCGUACAGUCCAACCUUUUAAAUGUGUUCCCGCACUGAAAACUGCCAAAUCAUACAAUCGUUCUCAGGAGAGUGUGGGAGAUUAUAAUCCCGAAGAUUAUUUGAAGUUUUUCCCCGAGAAAGUGACGAAAAUCGAGGAUAGCGUUUUAGUGCUUGUGCUUCUUCUUCGACCUUCGGAGCAAAAGAACGCUUGGUAAGAUCAUUUGCUUUUUCUUUUUUGACAGAUUACGGCCUUUUCACUGUUUUCUUUCCCUGUUUCUUUUUGUCGGUGUCCUUCGUCUUUUCACUUCAAGAAUGGACUACACAGUAGAUGAUGCAUUGUUUUACGCUUCGAAGUCUUCUGAUCUGAACGUUUCUGCAUUCAGAUCUUGUCGUUCUCUGCAUUUUGAUUCCUUGAAUUUUGGCGAUUUAUUUGCUGUUGCUCUGUUUCGAAUGAUUUUAAAGGUUUGUUGACUAAUCUUGCUUCUACAUAUUGUUAAAGAGUUCUGGUCGAGUUUCGGUCACUAAUGUUGUGUUUGGUUGGCGAGAAAUCGUAAGAAAAUAAGAGGAAACUUGAAAUCUUACAAGAGCCACUUUCAUCUCUCUUUCUAUACUUUACCGGGAAUCUAGCGGAGUCUGAUCGUUAGAACGAUUGAGGGACGAGUUCUUUUAGUUUAGUGUAUGGCUAUUAAAAUUUUUGUAUGAGGAUUCAAUUUCAAUGGUUUUUGAAUCGAAUUAUAUGGUUUUAGUUGGACUAGUCUGUUCUUUUCUUUAUCUCCCUCCUUGGAGCAUAUAGUGGUGUGAAGUGUCCUUUGGAUGAGUUGGAGGUGUGGGUUAGAGAUUAUUCAUGCCUAUGUGAGUUCAGUUUUGCUCCAGUGAAUGGAUGGUUUAGUCCAGUCUUGGUCUUGCCAUGGGCCCUGCAGUUCAUCUGAGAUGACAACAUCUGAAUGGUAAAAUGCCGUUGAGUUGCUGGAGAGGAGAAUUUAGGAAUUCGAUGUUUCCAUGCUUCUGAGUGGUGAACAAUUGGUGGUUUCCUGUUAUCCAUGUUUGAGAUCUGAUUGCAUAAGAAUUGCAUAGUUCCAAUUUUUUUUUUCUCUGUUCGACUCUGGCUCUUAUAUAUGGUGUCAAGCAAAAUUUAUGUUUGUUCAUUGCAUCCAAAGAAUGGAACACAAAAAGAAGAGUUCCAAUGCAUUGCAUAAGCUUGAGGUCCUUUCCAUUAGAUUUGAAGUGGCAAGAUCAUGCACAGGGUAUGAAAAACAUCGGCCCAUAUUUUGUAAGCAUGAACUUCCCUCACCAUUUUCAGUGAAAGGGGAGAAAGGAAUAAUGAGUUGGUUGUGCAUCAUUUUCUUUGGUUCUAUCUGUGCUGACGAUUGUUCUUAUACUACUAUAUUUUUGUGGUUCCUCUGCAGUAGGCUAUGAAUUUUCUCCCUGUGAAACUCUUUACCGUGCCAACAUAAUAUUUUGCAAACUCAAGUCAAGUCCAACAUGUCUGGUUGUAAACAUCAUUUUUAGGAUUAAAACUUUGACUUGGUAGUAUCUUAUGCUAGUUGUUUCUUUGAAUUCUAACUGAGCUCCUUCAAAUAAAGUGCUCUACAAGAGCUGAAAAAGAGACCCUGAACUGCAUCAAGAAAAAUACCUGCAAAAAAAACUGAAUAUAAAGCUUAUUAUGCUGAACCAGAAUCCAGUAACUCGAUCAGUUAUUUGGACAUGGGUUCAGAACACUCUUUAGUUUACAUAAGACAUGUUUUUAACCUUGUAUAUUAUGCGGUCUAUGCCAACAGGUUUAAGGAGGUGCCUUGAGAUAUAAAGUCCUGUGAAAUGGUUGCCAAAGAGAACAAGGAUGAAAUUAAAGAUAACCAUUCUAGUGAUUUGGAGAAAGAGCCUAAGCCAGGAAAGGAGGAAGAGUCUGAUUCUGAAACAAGAAGAGAUUCGGUAUCAUCUCAAGGGGAUUCACAGACAGCUGACGAUGAGAAAGUAGAGAGAGCUUCAAGAGUUCCCAAAAGGAUUGCCAAAAAGGAUUCCUCUGACAACCAUUCUCAUGCAUCAAGAGUGAGAUCUGAUCGUGAAACACAUAAAUCACAAUCCAAGCCAUUACAUAACACUCCUAAGAAAUCUCCAAAAUCCAACAAAGGGCCUUCUAAAGUGACUACAAAAAAUUCCCCCAAUACUAAUUCUAAAAAUAUGAAAGUUCCUCCAAAACCCUCAUCAGAAUCAUCUGAAGGAAUUGAUGAUAAACCUAUUGAGGAGGUAAAGGAAGCAGAUCUCUUGGAUGGAGCCUCAAAUGGUGUUCAGAGUGUUGGAAGUGAUGAUGAGACAGUUGAUACUGAGGAAAAUGGUGAGCAUGAAGACAAGGUUGCUUUGGAUCAAAGGAUAGAAGAAAUGGAAAUGAGAAUUGAGAAACUUGAAGAGGAGCUGAGAGAAGUUGCUGCUCUUGAAAUUUCACUCUAUUCUGUGGUACCAGAGCAUGGGAGCUCAGCACAUAAGGUGCACACACCUGCACGACGGCUUUCUAGACUCUACAUUCAUGCUUCAAAGCAUUGGGCCCAACAUAAGCGAGCCACAAUUGCUAAAAACACUGUGUCUGGGCUUGUUUUGAUUGCCAAGUCCUGUGGUAAUGAUGUUCCGAGGUACGCCAAUUAUCAUGUUUUUAAGUCAAUGCUUUGGGAUGCUAUGCUCAAUUAUUGUAUACUGAUCUAACAAUGUUCUUCUUCCUUGUUUGUUUUCUUCUUUUCUUUUUCUUUUUCUUUUUCUCUUUCAAAAUUAAGGCUAACCUUCUGGAUGUCAAACACCGUUGUGCUGAGGGAGAUAAUAUCUCAAGCAUUUGGCAAUUCAUGUCAGUCUAGCCCAGUUGUAAGGUUUUCUGAGUCAAAUGGAAGUGGGAAGAAAAGUGACGGAACAUCUUUGACACUGAAGUGGAAGGGUAGUUCUGGUGGUAAACAAGUAAACAAACUUGGUUUUGUGCAAUUUGUUGAUGAUUGGCAGGAGACAAGAACCUUCACUUCUGCAUUAGAAAAAGUUGAAUCCUGGAUUUUCUCUCGGAUUGUUGAGUCAGUAUGGUGGCAGGUAAAAAAUACACAAGUUACUGUAUGAUUAAUGAAUUAAAUUUGAUCCAAACUGUUGAAAGUAAUGUAAUCUAACUAAAGAUCUCAUACCCAUAAGUCAUGCACGAUAUGCAAAAAAAUCAACCUGUUAAGUGACAUGCACAAUUAUUAAUAUAUAUCUCCAAAUAUGAAAAUAAGCAUUUUAUUUUUAUUUUGCUAGUAAAGUCUAUGUGUAAGUUACUAUUAUGUCUGAUUUAUAAUUAUAAGUGGCUUUUAAUGUGCUAUGUUCCUUAAUUCUCUCACUAUCUUAUGGUUUCAGACUUUAACUCCGCAUAUGCAACCUCCAGUUAAGGAUUCCUAUACCAAGAAAACCAUUGAACGUCUAUUAGGACCUGCCUUAGGUGAUCAGCAGCAAGGGAGCUUUUCCAUUAACCUUUGGAAAAAUGCUUUUCAAGAUGCCUUUCAAAGACUUUGUCCUGUUCGAGCAGGAGGGCAUGAGUGUGGUUGCUUGCCUGUAAUAGCAAGAAUGGUAAGUGCUUUAAAAUAAAAAUUUGCCUUUUCUAUUUUUAUUUUCAUUUGCAAAAGCAAUGGAGAAUAAACCGAAGACCAAAACUUUUCAUGUUUCAACUUUUUAGCAGGGCUGACUUGUUUAAGCUUUUAUAUUCUCUGAAGGGUUAACUAGAUGUUUCUGUCUGCAGGUAAUGGAACAGUGUGUUUCCAGAUUAGAUGUGGCAAUGUUCAAUGCUAUUCUACGUGAGUCUGCCCAUGAGAUCCCAACUGAUCCUAUAUCAGAUCCAAUUGUUGAUUCCAAGGUUCUGCCUAUUCCAGCUGGAGACUUGAGUUUUGGAUCUGGUGCUCAACUUAAAAAUUCUGUAUGUAUUGACUUACUUUACAUAUAUGUGGCUUGCAUAUUUUGUGUGAAAGUUGCUUUAUCUUCAUCCAAGGGGUAGUUAGUCCUCUGAUUUGUCAGCCAGUAUAGAAGAAUCCAGCCUUGAUUAACUUCUAGGGUAAUUGACAAACCAUUAUCGUGGUGAAUACAUGAAGGCAGAUCAGUUACAGUUAGCAACCGCUAUUGUAAUUCAUUUACUUUGCUUCUUUCUGGACAAAAAUAGUGGAAACAACUCCUGAUUUCUUUAAGAACAUAUGCCUGCCAUAAUAAGGGAAAAGAAGAUUUAAUUAGGGGAAAAAUGCUUUUAGUCAAAGACACCUUAGCUCCAUCACAAACAAGUGGAAAACAAAUUUUCUCCAGGAAUGAGUUCCAUUGUGACAAUGAAGCCUUCUUGGUAGAUAAUUUGUGGUUAAGUUGGCAAUUUAAAACCUUUUCAGCUUUUUUAUAGGCAAUUGAAAGCUUCAAACAUCUCAUUGUUCCACUAUUUAGAAUUGAUGGGCAUUUCAGGGUACAGAUUUAUCCUCUGUCAUGUAAUUGUUACUAGAAAAGGGGAGCUGUUGAAAAAAGGAAUCAUAUCCCAAAUGACAAUGGAAAAAAUGUAUCUUGGAUUCCCUCUUUAAUGAAAAUUCUGAACUUCCACAUUCAGAGAUUAUGUACACUCAUUUAAAAUGCUAUAGAAACAGAAUGGUCUCUUUAAAUCCUCAAAACAGUGAAUUUAUCUCAUUUUUAUGAGGACAUCCAAAAUGCCCUCUGAUUGUAAGAAUAAUCAUACACAUGUCAGCAACAGGUACAAGGAGUUAGGCAUUCAAAGCGUUUCUAGGUUUAUAUCAUCUAUGGGAAGACCCUUGUUUUCUAUGGAAUGAUCAUGUUUACAAGUUUUAAAAUCACAUGGAGUUUGCUUCCCAUGCAGGUCGGAACUUGGUCCAGAUGGCUUACUGAUUUGUUUGGUAUGGAUGUUGAUGAUUCCCUGGGAGAAGUUCAGAUCAAUGGUGAGGAUGGUGAAAGCCAGGGUGGACAUGAUGAACCCAAAUCGUUCCAUCUUCUUAAUGCCUUAAGUGAUCUUCUGAUGCUUCCAAAAGACAUGCUAAUGGACCGAUCCAUUAGAAAGGAGGUUAGCCUUAUAAUAAUAUACUUUCAUUCAAGACAUGUAAUAUUUCCUUGCUGCUCCUCUAACUUGAUGCAUUUUUUUGGUUGUCAUGUUUUUAACAUGAAAGGUGUGCCCAUCAAUCAGCCUUCCAUUGCUUAAAAGAAUACUUUGCAACUUUACACCAGAUGAGUUCUGCCCUGAUCCUGUCCCAGGAGCUGUGUUAGAGGCAGUGAAUGCUGAGGUAGAUUUUGCUUACCUUUGAAAUCUCUUCCAGAAGUUUUUUAGGAGUUGAGUAGGUACACUAAAAUAGUACAUUGGGCAAUUAUUCAAUAUUCAUUAUUUUGUGGAUGCUAUUAUUUUGUAAUGGCUCUUCAUAAACACCAGAAGACAAAACAAGUGGAGUUCAAAAACUUAGGUUGGGGUUGGAUUUUUUGGUCUAGGUUUGAGUUCCAACAGAUAUGAAAGAAAAUGUCAAGGGAAAAAAAAUGGUUUGGAGUUUCAAUGAUUUUUUACCCUUUUUCUGAACUUAUUGUGGGGAGAAAAAUAUUUCCAAGUGGCAAUUAAAAACCAGAAACAUCAACAAUUAAUCACGGUUCCAGCUCUAUUAAGGGUGGCCAUUUAUUGUUCUGUUCCAGCUUUUCAGAUUCCAUUUGGAGAAUAAAUGAUGUUCUAAUGGAGGACUGAACAUUUAAAUUGGAGAUUUUCUAUGAUAGGUCACUGAUGAUUCCCCAUGAAACUUUCUUGUCUCAAUAAUAUGCUAUCCACACCUUUACUGAUGGAAAUGCCACCUAGGCCUAUCAUCUUCUGCUUCUGUUUCUAAACAUAAAAAAUUUCAGAAUCUUGCUAUGGCCGAUUGAAGGACAAAGAUGCUGAAAUAGAUGGCUGAUCCAUCGCUAUUUCAUUUUUCCAGAGUAUUGUAGAGCGAAGAUUAUCAGGAGACUCUGCCAGCAGCUUCCCAUAUCCAGCUACCCCUGUUCUGUAUGCUCCUCCUUCCUCUGCUGACGUGGCAGAGAAAGUUGCAGAGGCAGGUGGGAAAUCACAAUUGGCGAGGAAUGCGUCUAUGGUACAGAAAAAGGGGUAUACCAGUGAUGAAGAACUGGAGGAACUGGAUUCUCCCCUCACGUCCAUCAUUGAGAAAAUGCCACCAUCUCCAUCUGUUGUAAGAAACGGAAAUGGAAAACACAGUGAGGAAACAGGCCAUAAUGGCUUAAAUGCAAGGUAUGAACUCCUUCGUGAGGUUUGGUCGUCGUGAAUGGUGCUUGUGAUUACAUUAAUACAUUAAUCAGUUAUGCUGCUGCUGUUUGCAUCAAAGAAUAUCAUGAAGGGAAUCGCAGGAGGAUGUUCUCUAAUGCGUCUGGGGAGAUGCUCUGUUGUAUAUGUUAUAGUGUUACACAUAUAGAGAGAUUUUGUUGCAUUCAGUAAAUUAUUUUUCAGUUAUUUGAAAGUUAUACUUGUAUUCUUAAGAAAGAUUCUUGUUGUACUGCUUCUCCAUGGAAAAAAAUUCCUUAAUCCUUGUCGUAGAUUGUUUUAUUUGUAGCUCAGUGCAAAAUUGCAAAUUGCAAAAUCCUGGUGCCCCUGGGGCUUUCUCAGAACAUGGGCCAAAUUGGGGUUUGGGCCUGAUGAAAUGGGCUGGCCCGUCAAAUAGUUAUUUGGUGGACAGCCCUGGCCGUGCACCACUGGAUGUGGAUGGCCCACGGUUGCACCUUUGGCCUUCUGGCUUUAGGGAAGCUAAAAUCCAACAUUUUGAUUGAUGUAUUGAAGCGUUGGGUUUGUUCUCAGUAGCAAAAUUAACUGCGAUAUUUUGAACUUCUGCCUCCAGAAUCUCUCUCUCUACUGGUAUUAGAAAAACUUCUGCCUUUCUUGAGGUUCACCCGCCCCUGAUAAAUUGCGAAAAUUAACACACCCAAAGAACGUUGCAGGCAGUUUUAAUACUAUGGAUGCUUGACCGUAAAAAUCCAAUGAGCAUGAAUCAUCUUCAUUCGAGAAUAAACUAUUAUUUCAUACUUGUAAUCAUUCUUCACCAUAGGAAAGUUAAUGAAUAUUAUCUCAAACAUCAGCGCACAAGGAAAAAACUAAUUAUCAACUCUUUUACAAAAAUUCAAGAAUGAGGCUUUGCCCUAAUUAACCCCACCCUAUGGUAUAGGGCUUAAAUCCGCUACUCGCCUCCACACUAUUGGCCAGAGACCUUCCAAACUGAGCUGCAAGCUGGGCUUUUCGAGCAUGGAGGACUCCUCACAAAUGGAAUAUGCCCACUUCAGGAGGUCCAUUGUAGACAUGAUCUGGUUUGUGGGCUUCCCUCUUUGCCUGUUAUCUGCAUGUUUGUCAGAGAGUUUGCAGAUAUUAGAGAAAGUGGGAGGUAGAGCUUGAAGACGAAGUUUUUUACUACCUUCCAUCUUCUGGUUUAAAGUUGAAAGAACUGGAGAGGCUCAUACCCAUGCCUAAGCUUCUGCAAUGCCUGAUAUUUUGGAGUUUAAUAUUUAUAUAUAUAUAUAGGUCAAGUUUGAGGAGUUAAUAUUUAUAGGAAAACGAUUGAACUCAACUUAAAAUCUUUAAUCAUAUGACAUAUUAGAAAUUUUAAGUUCUCAAAGAAGUAUUAUAAUGAAGGUUCAUAUCUGGUCACAUUACUCAGGUUCAUAUCUGGUCACAUUACUCAUACUUUUCGAUCAAUUUUUUCAUAACCUUCACAUUCUACAUAUCCCGAAUCUCUUAAUACAUAUUUAAGUGACCUUGAAGUUAUACACCAUUAAUAAAAAGUGAUAUUAUGUGAAGACUAAGGUGGUGUUUGUUUUUUUUUUUUUGCUUAAUUUUAAAUAGAAAUUUAAUAUUUAAUAAUGUUAAAUAUUAUGUUGUUUGUUUUUAUAAUAUUUUUUUUUAUAUUAAGUAUUAAAAAGUAAAGAAAAAACCAAUAUGUUAUUUUUUUAUUUAGAAAAAAUUAAAUAUUUUGACUUUUUUAUUCAGAAAAAAUUUUAUAAUAAGUUAUGAAAAGGUAAAAAAACAAACAACCUAAAUUCUGAAAACAAAUUGCUUUCAUUAAAAAGUCAAAAAAACAAACAACCUCUAACCCUUAUAUAUUAUACUUCAGUCAUAAAUGGACCGCUUAAUUAAGCAUCAUAUCAUUAUAUAAAGGUUCAAGUUUAACACUACCCGUAUAACAAGCUCUAUGUCAUGAAAUUACACCAGUGUGUUCAAGUGUAGCCACAUAAUCUUUACAUAUUGAGACCAGGACGGCUUGGGUCUGCUGAGAAACUCUUAACUGAGCUGGAAGGGACAUCAAACUCAGUUUUGUCUGCUGGAAAAUCUUCAAUCCACCAUCCAUCUUCUGCAUUUUCCGGGGCCAAGUCUUCUCCAACAGUAGUUCCAUUUGUUUGCACCACGCCACCUGCCAUAUCAGUAGAAUUAUUUCCAGUUACAGUCACUGUUGUAUUCCCCUCCAACAUCCAGCUCCUCCGCCCGUUGAAAUCGGCGUUGGUUCUGGUUCCCCUUGCAGGGCUAGUCAAUCCAUCAAAGAAACCAGGGCUGGGCUGAGGAGGAGGGUUUUGGAUACCACGGAGCCCGAAGAAUCUAGGGUUUUGCUCCAGGGCGUCGAGGAAAAAGUUUUCGUACUGCGGGGUUGGUAGGGUCUGAAACUGUUGAGAUGGUGGCAAUGGUGAAAUCCCCCUCAUAAGUCCAAAGCUGUAAGUCUUACCAGCUCCGUGAAUAGUAGAAAAUCGCCCCAAAUUCCCACUGGUUGUCAUCCCACUACCAGUGCUAGUAAACCCAAGAAAAUUAUGGAUAGGUUGAAAGUUAGGGUUUUGGUAGCCACCAAGAAGGAAGGAGCUAGGGUUUUGAUCCUGGACCUGGUUGAUACGACUGUGAUUUUGCCGGAACCGAAGAUACUGGUUCUCUGGGGCUGGUUGAAUCGGCGUUUGUUCAACUGGGUUUAGUUGCUGAAUCCCACUACCAAAUCCAUGGGCAGAAUUGGGGUUGGUUUGAAAAUUAGGGUUUUCAUGGGCACGAAGAAGGGAGGAGCUAGGGUUUUGAUGGUCUAGAUGUUGGCCAUGGUUGGCAGAAGUGUAACUCCGAUGAAAUUGAAGAUUUUGCUGUCCCGGGGCUGUUAGAUUCUGAAUCUGCUCGUCAGAUGGUUGAACUUCAGGGUCAGGCUGGGGGCUUCUCGAGUUUCCAUCUUCCGGCACGUCCGGUACCUUCUUUGCCUUCCUCUUUGAAAGAACUUCAUCCACUGAAGUAUUUUUUACGUACUUUGAAGCACCUUCACCAAUCGGGAGCUUAUUACUUGCCAGUAUGCUCAUGACAUUGUACUGACCAAGAUCAAAAUUGGUAAUUGCCUCCAUGCCAUUAAGCCUUAUCGAAGCAAUGUCAUAAGCCCUAGCUGCUUCAUCUUCGGUCUCUGUCAGCACAAUUGAAGAUUGAAUACUCAGAUCAGUAAGGCAAAAGUGGAAUCACCCCAACAUACUCAAGUGGCAGAGGGUCACUCUCCACCAAACAGUUGAGAUCAUUUGAGGGUUUUGAGCUAACAGUUAGAGUCUAAGUCCCACCAAGGUAGAAGCUAGAGCUAAUCAAAAUAUGUGAUCCAAGAGGGGAAGGACUUACUGAAUGUCCCUAAGUAAAUGCCUCGCAAUCCUUUGCCUCUACCUAACCUUGCUUGCCAUUUCUCGCCGUCAGCAUUCCUGUCCCAAUGCUUGGCCAUGAGAGACAGAAGGAGAAAACAUGAGUGAUAGGAAAGAGGAGAGAAAAAGACAGAUACUUGGAAACUCCGCGAUAUUGAGAGGCGCCUUUAGCAAAGCCCAUACUUGUCCUAAAAUUCGUUUGUUUCAAACUAUAGUUAAUAUAUAUGGUCUCCACAAGAAAUAAUUUCUUUGCAUUUCAAGAAAAUAUAAAGUAAAAAAAGUGAAAAAAAAUGUAUAAAUCAGAUUAUACAUACACGUUAUAUAUAUAUCCAAGUAAAUGCAGUUGUAAUUAAGGGAUUUCAAUGGAAAUGAAUCAAACCACACACCAUUAAUUUUGAUAGUCUAUGAAAGAAUGGAUUAAGUAGAAUCUUACCUUCUAAGGGCUACCAGAUAAUCUUUUUUCGACAUGUCCUUCAUCACCUCCAUUUCCUUCUGAUAAUUACUUAGCUGCAAUGAUACAAGUACAGAUUUAAAAAAAUUUGUCACCCUUGCUAAGUAUAAAUGAACUCUCAUACCAACAUACUUAAGCAUCCAAAUCAUAAAUCCAGUCUGGGUCCAUCAAUGUUGAGAACCAUACCGGGAAAUUUGUGGGGACUGAUCUGCCCCAGAACUUAAUGGCAGCUAAAUCAUAAGCCCGAGCUGCCUCAUGUUCUUGUCGAUAUACACCUGCAGAAUGAGAAAGAGGAAUGAGAAACCGUUGGUGACCAAAAACUAUGUUGUGCUGUCUUAGUGGGAGAACUGUGUUGAAGAUUAUGAACUGAAAAUUAAUCUUGUACUUACCAACAUAAACUUCCAGAUGUGAAGCAAGCAACAGAAACCAGAUGAGGAAAGAGAAGGGAGUUAGUAAUAUUCACGAGAGGAUUCUUAUAAGGUGAAGGAACAAAACUUGGAAAGUAAAGAACAACAAAUAAUUAAUUAAUGAAUAAAAUAUUUAAAUGAACUCAGCUACCUGUUCUUCCUUUUCCUUCAUUGUCCCACAGAAAUGCCUCAUAGUGUCCUGUAUGCUUAUAUCUAUUUUGGAGGGAAAGGAAGCAUUUGCAGGUGAGAGAGCGGCAUAUGUUUUUUCGAAAACAAUUAAAGAUAGACUAACACCAUAGACAUAGAAACAAACCUACUAACUCCUCGAUAGCGGGGGGUUCUUUCUCCAAAAGCUCGCUCUGGAGCUCUAGAACGGCCUCUACGUCGAGACACCUUAACUGAAGACUUGUCCUUCAUGCCCUUUUUCUUCUCACCACUUACACUAUUACAGCUGCUUGUGGAGAUUUGUUAAAAAAUAAAAACAUUGAAAAUUAUUAUGUUAAACAAUAGAGAUGAGAUAGACCACAACCUAGCUUGUCCUGGAUGUAUUGCAUCAGUACUACUGGUUCAGUUGGAUUUUCUGGGCUUCCUUCAACAAUGCCUAUAUUAUUAACCCUCCCAGUACUCUUCUUGCCAUUCAAAUCUGUGUGAUCACUUUCCAUGGAUAGAUUAGAUCAUUUCCCAUGGUAUUAUUAUGACUUGAAUCUAGGGACUUCUGCAGAGGAUAUGUUAUUAAUAUACUACUGCUAAUUGGAGAAAUAAUUAGAACAUGCACCAUUUUUAUUUUGAGGAUCCUGAAUUGAACAUUAAUGUUCAAACAAUAAGAAAGCAAGUUUACAAAAAAGGAUCAAUUCAUUUUGGCAUAGAUGAUAAUAAUGCACGCGUCAUGGAGCGGUCAAUUAAGGUUUUCUAGUUCAUCUUCUCACAAUUGUGCUGGAAUGAUAAUGGCCCGCAUCGCGACAUAAAGGGGCAUGCAUGUCAUAUAUUAGGGGGAAUAUACUUCGGUUCCACGCAGCAAGACGUGGCACCUUGCAAUUGCUAGAACUUGUUCUAGCAUGCAUGACCAUGGAUUAGCCAGUUCCUAUUUGGAAUGUUGCAAUUUCUUGAUCGCUGCCAUUUUCUACGUACUACAUUACAAAUAGUGAUGGUAAGUAUGAUUAGACAAUCAACAUAAUGAGAAGAAAAUGAAAAAAGAGUAGGCCACAACAGUGGGAAAUCCUCUGAAGAUAUCAAACAUGGAAGCAUACUGAUCAUCAAAGGCACAGAACAAUAAAAUUUGACAAACAUAAUCAAUGGAGUCACUUGUAUUAUAGUAAUAUAUGAUCCUUCCCUAUCAAAUCAAUCAUUAACUAAACCAAAUUAAUUAAUGAAACUGUCUUUAAGUUGGAAAUAUAUAGAAGCUUAAAUUACAGAAAUGGGAUACAAAAUGUUUGCAGCUACUACAUUGAAAUUAAUUUCCAUAUAUAAGGGCACAAAACAUAGUACUGAAGAAGGUGGCCUAAAAAUAUUACCCAGUUGCACCACAGUUAUAAUCAAGCUUCUUUCAUCUUAAUUUACAAAGGAUAUCUACCAAUGAAACUAGCUAAUAUCAAAGUCUUAUAACCAUAGAUAUCAUUCACAACUCGUGAGAACUACAAAUUAAACUCACAUAAAAGCAGCUGUAAAAGCAAAAUUAAAAGAUACAUGGAUUACUGCUUACGCUUAAAGCAACCUAGCUCACAGUUGCAGCCAUGGGCAUCUCUCUUUGAUCAUCAAACAGAUACCUGAAAAAUCAAAUAUACCGACAAGAGAUUUUAAAGCAAGAGAGAGUUAUUAUAUGCUGAAGAUCAGAACCAGUAGAGAUCUGAUAUUUUUCUUCCAUAUAUAAAUCCAUGAAGCAAUAUUUGGCAAAAAAGUUAUAUUAGAAUAUCACUUGACUAGUUAGGUUUUCUAAUCAAAUAAACGAAGCUCAUAUGUUGCAGAAGAUCUAACUCAAAUAAAAACUAAGGGCAAGAUAUAUAUAUAUACAUAUGUGCAUGAUACCUUCUUGUUACUUGGAGGGAGUCCCUAUCUUUCCUCUCUUUCUUCUCUAAUUGAAAACCUCAAAAAAAGGAAAUUAAAACCCAACAAAAAAACCAAGAAAGAAAGGGGGAAAAGCCGCAGCAAGCUCUCUGGGUGGCUAUUCCAAAAGCAAAACAAGAAAAAUGGUGAUGAAAUGAGGAAGAAGAGGAUACAGGAAAGAAGAUAUCUUCACUCCAUUAGUAUCAACACAUGGCACUUGAGAGGCUUGUCAACCCCUCCUUUUUCUCUCCUUUUCUCACUCACCAGUACUCCCAUUUUGUCACAAUCUAUCUCAGUGGAUACGACUCAUUAAUCUCUUGUUUAUCUCUUCAUUCAUUUUUUGUCACAACAUAUCACAGCUUCUACACUCAUUUCUCCGUGACUUGGUGCAGUCUCUUCCAUGGAUGCAGUGGUUAAUAACUCUAGAUUUCACAAAUCAAUCAACUCAUUUCCAAACGGACCUCAGCUUGCCACGUCAUCAAAAUGGGGUCCACUCAUCCACCAACUUUGUAUAAAAGUCAAUGGUCAACGCCUAUGGGUGUUUCUUGUUAGUAUCGAUACAUGCAACCUUCUUCUUAAGUGGGGUGUAUAGAAAUGGAUUCUUCCCAAACCCUAGCUAGUCCAAUUUUAGUUGUCAUUUGGUUAUUGUAGUUUUACAUUCCAAACAGAGUCCAAGCAAUAUAUAAAACAACAUUUCAAGAUAAUCUUAAAAAACAAAAAUAAUUCUUUUAAAAUUUUUUUAUAUAGUAUAUAGUUAUGAUUACAAUUGAAUUUUUUUAAUCUAAACAAUAUAUAAAAUAAAAUUUAUUAUAAAUUAAAAUAUAAAAUUUAUUAUAUACAACUGACAUUUUCAGGACAGAAAAUAUUUUUUAAAAACCAUUUUCAUUUGUGAUGUCAACUGACCCAGAAUAAAUAGAUUGGGCCCUUGUAAAGUUCGAGCCCAAGCCUUGGAUAUAGCUCCAGCCAACCAACAUUUCUUGGGUUGAGCAACGCAAGGGCCCAAACUCGAUACCCAUUCAACCUUAACGUUGAAUUGGGCCAGUCCAAUCCAACAAAACUCACUUUCAAUCAAAUUCAGGGAAAUUGUAGAUGAUCAAGACCUACUGCAUUGAUCAUGUUCUUUAAUAAAAAAAUUUUAUACUAUGAUCACUUUCAUGAUAUCCUGGUCUCUAUCAUUCUUUCUUACUAUGAUGACAUUCUUCAUUUCUAGUCAUAUUCGUUGGACCCUCAAUCAUAUGUUUUUUUUUGUACCGUAAUCACAUAUUUCUUUUACUCAUGAUGACCCUUUUUUUUUUCCUAAUGUUUUUACAGGCCUCCAAAUGAAAUUGACCAACAGAUUUGGACUUUUGUGACAUCAAAGAUUAAUCCGGCAAAUCUCACAUCAUGUUUUCAAUUUUUUUUUCUCAACGCUCCAUACCAAAAUUCCCAGAAAAACCCAUGUUUUCACUUCCUAGACAAUGGAAUCCCACUUCACAUUUCCUGAGGUACCAGGAGUUUCUUUCACUGGGAAAGGAAAAACCCUAAAAUGGGAAUUCCGAUUCCAGGACGUAUUGGAAUGUAGUUUCCCAAUUCUUUUCUGACUAAAAAACAAAAAAUCCGUCUACAAGAAAGCAAUGUUUCUAGGGUGGCACCCAAGAGUAGUAUUGACAAGGAAAAUAUGUUGUAUUACUAUCAAUGAGAAUCCCAAAAUCAAAUUCUGCUGCAGAACACAGAAAACCAUUUCCAAACAGGUUUUCCCCGACCACCCCACUCCAACAAAAAGAGCCCUGUGGGUUCAAACCACCAUUUCCAAACAGGAAAAUUACUCCAAAAUUAGUGAAAUCAAGUUGGAUUUUUACAUAUAAGACAAGACAUUAAACUGAACUGGUUGAAGUGUGGUUUAGUGUUCAUCAGAUUGGAGCUGAUGAAUGCUCAUCUGAAGUUCCAAUGGACAACUCCAAAUCUGGGAUGUGGGGGUCUUUGAGCUGAGGGAUUGAAGUGCUCUCACAACUUCAAACAUGGUCGGCCUUUUCUCAGGCAUUACAGAGGUGCAUCUCAGGGCCAUUUCCAGAGCACCCAGCAUCUCUUGCUGUGAAGAGUUUGAAAUCUUGGGGUCAAGAACUUGGAGAGCUCCAUCGGUAAUGUUGAUUUUCCGUCUAACCCACUUCACAAUAUCAAUAGACUCUGCUGAUUCUGCUUGCUCGGCUUGCCGGCCUGUCACGAGCUCUAGCAGCACAACACCAAAGCUGUACACAUCCAUUUGUUCUGUGGCUCUCUUGCUGUAUCCAUUUUCUGCAUUUGAACAAUGAGGGUGGAUAAGAAAAUUGAGAUACAGAGAUAUAUAUACAUAUAGCAAGAAGUUUAUAGACGCCCAGAAGAUUUGUACCUGGUGCAAUGUAACAUGAGAAAGCAGAUUCUGAAGCCAUGGUCGAUUGAAAUGCAGUUUCUCCCACAAUCCGAUCCAGAGCGAAAUCCGUGAGCUUUGGUUCCAAAUCUGCAUCCAGAAGGAUGUUUUUGGACUUGAGGUUUCUGUGAAGUAUAUGUGGAACAUAGUCCUUGUGAAGAUAUGCUAAUCCUUGAGCAACCCCAAUGGCAAUCCUCAAUCUAGUACUCCAUUGAAACUGAAAAUCUGGUCUGCAUAUCAAAUCCCCCAAGCUCCCCUUCUGCAGAAACUCAUAUAUCAGAAAGAUAGAGUCACUGGAGUGGCAGAACCCCAGAAGUUUGACUAUGUUCUUAUGCCUGAUCUUGGCCAAUGUCUUUACUUCAUUCUUCAGUGAUUUUGAAGACUGGCUCCCAGGAUUGAGAAGCUUCUUGACAGCCACAAGCUCACCACUUGGUAAGCUUAUGAUGUAAACUCUACCAAAAGCUCCACCACUUCCUACCGCGCUUUUCUCAUCCAUUCCCAUGAUCAAGUCAUGCUCUGUGACUCUAAGGGGGUAGAAGAAAACUGAUCUCCAGACACCCAUUUGAGAUUUCCGCUGGGAAGUCCGAUAAAUCACAAAGAACCCAGCUGCAAUGAUCAAAAUUCCAGCACCAAGAGCCAGAGAGAUGAGGGCACAUGCUAAUUUUGUAAGACCACCAGCCUUAUGUAUGGGCUCAUCAUCAUAACAAGAAUUGGGUAAUCCUGGGCCACAAAGUUCCGGAUUUCCUUGCAGAAAUGAAGCCGGAAGGCCGGAGAUCAAAGGGAAUGGAACCUUUCCGGAGAGGUGGUUGAAGGAUACAUUAAAGAGAGCAAGUUUCAAGUUUUGAAGCUCCUGUGGAAUUGAACCAGUGAGAUUAUUAUCCGAAAGGUCAAGGUAAGUGAGCACAGGUAAUUCAGCGAGGGAUGCAGGGAUUUGCCCAACAAGACUGUUGUCCGCCAGAGACAAUGAGACUAAUUUCCGGCAUUUCUUCAACUCUGGAAUUAGACCAGAGAGCGAAUUGUGGGAGAGAUUUAUUAUACUCAUAACUGGUGAGUCACAGAAAUUUGGAGGAAGUUCACCAUAGAAGCCAUUAAGAGAUGCAGAAAAUCUAUAUAAGCUCCGGACUGACCCAAGGCCCUGAGGAAUUUUACUAGUGAAGCUGUUGUUAUCAAUCUGAACUUGCUCCAACUGAGCAGCCACUGAUAUGGAAUCCGGUAUUUCCCCAGAAAAUCUGUUGUUUUCAGCUCUAAUGAGCUUGAUUUUGGGUAAUGACCAUAACCCAUUUGGGAAAUCACCAGAAAACCCAUUGUUCUGAACUUGAAACCUCUCAAGAUUCAAGCACUCACUAAUGGAGUUGGGUAUUGAACCACUGAAGGAAUUUGUAUGGAGGCUGAGGUUUAUGAGGCCUUUUCCUCGGCAUAUGCCAGUGGGAAAUGAACCCAGAAGGUUGUUUUGUGAAACAUCAAAAGAUACCAAGUUCUUAAGAGAAGCUCCUAGUGUCUGAGGUACCCCACCAGUCAGAUUGUUCUGAGAGAGGUCCAAAAUGGUUAACCCCUGCAAGCCAGCAAAGGAUUGAGGAAUCUCACCAUAAAAACCAGAGCUUUGGAGUAGAAGCUGCUUAAGCUUCUCAAGCUUGCCAAUGCCACCAGGAAUCUCACUCACCAAAAAUCGAUUUUGAGACAAAUCAAGAACAAGAAGCUCAGUGAAAUUCCCAAAAACAGAAGGAACACUACCUGAAAGCAAGUUGCUUCCCAAGUUGAGAACUUGCAGAUUCUUCAGUGACCCUAUGGUUUCUGGGAUCUUCCCUUCAACGUGGUUUCUGCUGAAAUCAAGCGUUCUCAAUGAACCAAACUGAGAAAUUUGCUCUGGGACUGUACCCCAAAUGAGAUUGUUACUGAGAUUCAAAGUCUCCAAAGAACUGCACUGGGAGAGAUGGAGAGGAAUGGGUUGGUUGAAGAGAUUGUCAGCAAGGUUAAGGUAAGAGAGAUUGUGGAGUCCACACAGAGAAGCAGAGAUUUCCCCAGAGAGGUUCAGGCUCUGAAGGUUGAGAGAGGUGACAGAGAGAGGUGGUGUGGUGGUGCAGGUGACUCCAGUCCAGUUACAGUGGUGAGUCUCAGAAGUGUUGGACCAUGUGGAGAGAUACUUCAUGGGGUCUUCAAUGGAGGCCUUAAAUGUGAGAAGGAUCUCUGCUUCAGAUGAAGCAGAGGCCACGAUGAAGAAUGCGAAGGUCAAAGAGAAGAACAGAGGAUAUGUGCAGAAGCUAGCCAUUGGAUUUGGAAGAGACCGAGUCACUCUGAGAGAGAGAGAGUGAGAGAGAGAGAGAGGGGAGCUGGCUGGUUAUGUUGCCUCAGUCUUUUGUAUAUAUUAGUGAAGUGGGAGACUGUGACUCGCUCGGAAAGAAGAGGAGAUGUUGAUUGGUUCUAGGGCAUCUAUACAAAAUUGAUGCAGAGUCAUCAACAUCAUAAUUAGGAGAUCUUUUUUAAUAAAAGAUAGAAUUUAAGAUGGAUUGUCUUUUAGGCAAAGAAAAUUUCCUAAAUUCCAUGAUGAGAAAAUAGUGGGAAUUCCCAAAAACUCCAUAACAGUAACUUUGGAAAUCCCUAACCCAUAAUUUAGACUUGCAUUCUAAUCAAAUAUCAUCCAGGGUAUGGGAAAUAAUUACUUGUGACCUACACAUUUGUUGAUAUCCCCACAAACAAACAAACAAACAAAACACAAUCAACAACUGAUUUGAAAUGUUAUACAAAUCAAAAUGGACUAACCCAAUUUCCCUAUACCCUCAUAUUUGAUGUCAUCAUGAUUCAUGGUGGAGUUGAAGAAUUAUGGUAUUGGGUCAAGGCCACAACUUUUACCUAAAGCAAUUAAGCCAAAAAAAUGAGAAAGAAAACAGGGAAGGGAAGAGGGAAUGCACAACCCGUGAGCAUAUGUAGAGACAGAAAAGGGGGGAGAGAGAGAAAGAGGAGAAUGAAGACAAAAGUGGAUUGAAGUCUACUCCUCAUGUGGCAACGUGGGAUCUGUUUUCAACGCCCCUUCUUCUCUAACUUGUACAGAAGCUGGGUGUGUGGGGAGGAGGAUACUGUAAUAUUUACUAAUGUUGUUAGUGUUGGCUGUAGUGUAAAAUAUGGCUGCCUGAAAAUGCAGAGGAAAUGAAGGAUGGGGUGAGUGGUCACUUUCAAAGUUGAAUAGAGUUGUUUUCUACUCCCAAAAUCCUAGAAAGAUAACCCGCUUUCAACGCUGAGACGCCCCUACCAACCACGUAAAUCAAAAAGCCCAAAGGGGUCCUCUCUCCCCCCUUCUCUCAUCUCUCAUCAAUGCCUGCUAUGUUUAUUCAAUGAAUCCAAUGCUGUAAUUAUAGUGGCCCCCCCUACUUUUAAUCUUAUUCUUCUAUACUUGUUUUUCAUUUUUUGUUUUAUUCUCGUCUUUUUCAUUUUUCCUUUUUCUUUUGUUACUGCCAUGUUCUGAAUAUAAAAUUUGAAAUUAAAUUUUUUUAAAUAAUAUAAAGGGUAUAAAAAUUUAUUGGAUUUAUAUAUAUAUAUAUAUAUAUAUAUAUUAUAUUAUAUAUAUAUAAAAGAGAAUUAUUAAAAAUUAAUUAAUUAAAAGAAAUGAAAUAACUCCCAAAUUUAUGAAUUUUAACAUUUUUCAUAUUUUUAUUUAAAAAAUAAUUUAUUUUAGACAUUAAUAUUUUUUAUUAUUUUAAAUAUUUUAAAAAUGUUUAUUUUUAUAAUAAGAAAUAAUGAUAUUUUUAUCAAAAUGAAAUCAAAAAAAUGAUGAAAAGUUAAAUUUCAAAAUUUGGGUUUUGAACUAAACUUUUAACAAUAUAACUUAUUAUUAAAUAUAUUCAUUUGAGCUCUUUGCACAUACAUAUUUUUCUUGUUCUUUUUUUAAAACAAAAAAUGAAUUUGAAGAAAAAGGAAGAAAAAAAGAAAAUAAAAAUAAAAUUGAAGAAUGUGUUUAGGGUUUGAAUUAGUAAGGUUGAAAAAGAUAAGGAAAGUUUGGAUGAAGGAUUUUAAUAAUUCUUUAUAAAAGAAAUGAAUAAUUAAUAUUAAAACCAAUUUAAAAGAGACUUUUUAGGAAGAUUAGAAACAUUUCUCCAAACUUAAAAUAUUUUUCUUGUCAAAAUCUAAUAAAAUUUUAAAGAUAUAAAAUACUAUUUAAAUGAUUAUUAAAGUAAUAAUUGAUGAAUGUUGCUCUUAAAAUAAUUUUUUGUUAAUUGAUAUAUUAUUAAAAAUACUAAAAAAAAUGAUUUAUAUUCAAAAAAUAAUUAAUUAUUUAAAAAAAUAUUUACAACAAAAAGAAAUUCAUUUUUUUCUCUCUAAAUUACAAAUUUUCUUCUUUUUGGUCGAAAUGGGAUCCAAAACUGAACAAGAAAAUCAAACAAAAAAAAAGUGAACAGAGAAAAAGGUAAUAAAAAAUUAAUCAUUAAAUACUUGAAAAUUUAGGAAGCAAAAGUGAUUGUGAAAUAGGCUGUCGUCCACUGAGACAAAAUGGGAUGAGUAGUGAGUACAUUAUUCGUACAACAGUGAAAAAGUGUAGGUGAAAAUGUCAAGCUGAAGCCUGAAGCUUUCUCCAUAUGCUGACUUUUUUUUUUUCACCCCUGUUUUGACUUUUAACCGUAGAAAUAUUAAGAGUCCAGGACAGCUAUUAUUGCAGCCUUCGGCCAAAGAAAAAUAAAGAAAAUUUUAUGUCACUUCAUCUCUUAAAUGUUGUUCAGAACUCAAAUAAUUAAACAAAAUUCCAUCCCACACCCACAUGGCCCAAAAGCACAUCUAGCUUGUGCUUUUUUCAAAAAGAAAAAAAAAAAAGGCAAAAAUGAAAAAACUUUGUUUGUUGUGUUGCCUGCAUGCCAUGUUAUCCCAUUAUUCUCCACUGAAAUGGUCAACAUGUCAUUUACCCAUCAAAUAAUGAUCAAAUGUAACUGUUAGUGGUCACUUGUUGAGAAUCCAAUAGUCCCAAGAAGUGGAAUUUUAUAUGAUGGGAGUUUGUUUGGAUGGUCACUCAAGAAGAGUCAACCCUUUUCACGGAUUGAUCUUGCAGUUUGAACACAUCGAGCUGUGUUUGUAUGCCUUGGAAUGAUCAAACCCAUAUGCAAAAACCGUUUUAUAAUGUGGGUUUUUUUUUUUUUUUUUUUUGAGAAUGUGACCUAAUUGGAAGAUGUGUUCAACCCUUAAAAAUCGUCUAAAACUUUGGUGUGUAAUGGGAGUAUGGGUAUUUGAGUUGGUUGAAAUUUGGCUCAUUUGAUUUUUGUUACUUUCCAAAGGUUUCCUAAGCAUGUUCUUGGGGUUAAAACUUUAUAAAAGAGUCAACACCCCAAAUCAAGUAUUGAGAGAAAAAAAUAAAUAAACUUUAAAAUAAUGAAAGCAUCCAAGGAACCAUACAAGGAGGGAGUGUUGAGAGUUGAGAGAGAAGAAGAGAAAGAAAGGAGGCAUGGGUGUUUGUGCUAUUGUGUGUUUUGUGAGAUAUAUAUAUAUAUAUUCCCUAGAUGACAAGUCCCAACAAUGGGGAUUAUAAGAGAGGGCUUUUUGUCUUUGGAGAGCGAACCAGACAUGAGAGUGGUGGGGCUGGAUGGAAAGUGGGUGUAAUCAAAUUUCACUUAUGGCAAUGAGGAAAGCUAUAACAACAAUAAUACGCAGCAACACUAUCAAACCCACCAACACCAGUCACCACCACCCCAUGCGGCCAUGCCCCUUUCAGAGGGGACUCUUGACUCUCAGAGAGAGUGGGGUCGGUUUCUAUUCUCUUAAUUUUGCAAUCCAUGUUCCCAAUAAUCCCUUAAAGGGUCUUUUCAUUUUUUUGGGUGUGGGGCGCCAUAGCCCACCAUUUUUAUAGGGUUCUUUGGGUUUCAUGAGGUUGGCCCUUUCCCGAUUAGGCUUUACAAGAAAAGGAUGUAUAGAGUGAGGUUUCAAUUCAUAGUCUAUGCGAGGUAGGGACAACGAGUUGUGUUUUGGUUUGGACAAGUCACUCCAUCUCAUUUAUUUAAAUUUGUUCGUAUUCUUAUAAGAAAAAAAUAAAUUUAUACAUAUCUGCCCGUUUAUUUUUUUAACCUAUGUCCUUUGAAAAUACUCAUUUUGACUUCAUCUUCCACUAACCAUUCGAAACAAGUUAUUAACAAUUUCAGAAAAAUUCUGUGGGCUUUGAUAGGCAAACUGACCUAUGGGCCUGAUGCUGGACUGGCUUAUUGUUAGGGAAGGUGGAGCUUGGGCUUGUUUUUUACCCUAAAAUCUAAUAUGAUUGAUCUACGAGCUAGUUUUCUAAUUUAAAAAUUCACAGGCAAAUUUUUUAAUUACAGUAGAUUUUUAAGUAGAUCCAAAAUGUUUAAAUAAUACUUUAUAAGAAAUUGCCUUAAUAUUUGUUUUUUUAUGUCACAUUGUUAUAACUCGUUUAAAAUUACAUUAUUAUGACCAUAUUAUAUCAAAUUAUGUCAUUAUGACCUAAUAAUAUGAAUGACUAUUCCCAUAACCUAUCUCAACUAUAUACUAAGUUGGCCAAUCAUGAAAAAUGUUAAGAAUGACCAUUCCUAUAUGUGAAUUAACAAAUUCCAGAACUACAAUAAAGCAUUGGGAGAAACCAUAAAAGAAUUAAAAAGAAAAAGAAAAUACCACAUUGAAAAUGGGAAUUUUGGAAAGCUGCUCAGCCGAGGUGGUAGAGAAGUUUGAGAUGGUGAGAUGGACAUGAGUGGAAUUUGGAAACGAAAAGUCCCUCUUUAAACGUGAGGCGGAUGCCCUUUUUCUCUGCCGUCAUCCCACUCAAUAACACUCAUCCAUCGCCGACUCAUCAGUAUUAUGUGGCACUUGCAUGGUUGCCCACGAUUUUCCACCACCAAACUUGUCCAAAAUCCCCCCCUUCAUCGUCAUCAUCUCUGUUCUUACUGUGCCUGAUUGAGAUUACCACUUCCAACCUUUUCCAGUUUCCUUUGGUUUUCAUUCAGUUGUCUCGGCGACCAAACAGGAGGCAGGCUUUCACUUCAAUGCUCAAUGCUGAGAACACGGCUUUUAACAUCUUUUCAUCUCCAACUUGUAGGAAAAGCCAAAAACAAAAUUUUUAAACUCACAAGCUAAAAAUAUAUUGAAAUCACUAUGACUAUGAGAACAUUUCAAUAAGCUAUUAAUAUAUAUACACCCUCAUGCAUUUCUCACUGAAAUUAAAACUGCGGGGGGAGGUUUUUCAUCAACAGCCAUCCCUUCCAAUCUAGAACCGCUUCCAGAAGUCCAACUACGUGGAAUAAACCCAACUUUGUUUUGAACAGAAUCAAAAGAUUCAAACAAUCAGGAAGAAAAGGCAUAUUUUGGCUUCCAAUCUAAGCAUCAUUGCAAUAAUCAUUUAGAUGAUGUUUGUUUUUUUGACUUUUUGCUGAAAAUCAUUUAGUUUUAAAAUUUAGGUUGUUUGUUUUUUUAUUUUUUCAUGACUUAUUAUAAACUUUUUACUAAAUAGAAAAAGCCAAAAUAUGUGACUUUUUCUAAAUAAAAAAAAUAACACAAUGGUUUUUUUUACUUUUUAAUACUUAAUAGAAAUAAAAUACUACAAAAACAAACAACCUAAUAUUUAAUACUAUUAAGUAUUAAGGUUCUAUUUAAAAUUAAGUAAAAAAACAAACACCACCUUAGUAAGUGAACACCACCUUAGUAAGUGAGAGAGAGAGAGAGGGACAGAGAUGCUGCUUCCAAUUUGAAUGGUUCAACUAGGAAUCAAACAUUUUCACAAUAAAAAAUUUCAGUAUGAAUUUUGAUUUUGAUACUCUUUUUUUUUAAAUACAUUUAUUACCCGGGCGUCUGUGAAAUCCAGUCAAUCCAUGGCAACAUUGAUCAGGCCCUUCAGCACAUUAAGAAGGGGCAUUUCUUUAUCUUAGGAAAGAAAUGAUUCAGUAUUCACGUACCGGAACCCUGCUAGCAAAUAUACAAAGGUACUCAAGGAACAUUCCAAACUGCUUCAGGAAUAUACAUUUUUACCACAGGCAGAGAGAUCUUAUGGAAAACCAGUCAGUCAAGCACAUAUUUCAUAACACAAGUCACAAGCACAUAAAAUGCCUGCUCAGUAUAUUUUCCAACAUAAGAGAGGAAGUUGAGAAAACACAUUUGCUGUUCAAGGAAUAUUUUCGAGUAAUCACUGUGGGCCACAAGUACAUGGCUCUGGAUCCAUAUUUCAAACGCAGGUAACAAUGAAAGAUGUUGUGCCACCACCAUCACCAUACAAAUAAACCAAUAACCAUAAAGCAACAAUAUGUAUCACUCACACAACCUCACAAAAGCUUCAUUCACCAACAAUUAAUACCACACCAUAUUCAGUGGGGGCGAUGCCAUGGGAGGAAUCACACAGCUUUACAUCAGAGGGAAAAAAACAGUAGGAACUAUGGAUCAGUAUUAACAGCAAUUAAAUAUGAAGCCAUAAUCAUCAAAGAGAAGCUGCAACAAUUUACCUAAUUGGCUAAUUAACAGAUUUAGUUGAAAGCAUUUCAAACCUCCCACUUGAGUCCAUUACAUAAUUUUUUGAUUCUUAAAUCAUUAAGACACUUGGCAAACCUCUUGACCCAAAUGUUUGCAUCAGCCACCUAUUAACAUGUCACCCUUCAAAGUAUGAUUAAUAUUUAAGACAAAUAAAACACAAACUGAGAACACAAAUUGAUAUCCACAAAGUUACACUUAAAACAGGCAGAAACAAGCAGUCAUUUCCCCAUGUUUCUAUAAAUCAAAUAAUAUCUCUUGUGCACCUUCAAACUUAAACAGGCCUAAUUGAAAGAAGACAAUUUUGUUAGACCAUAAGUGCAUUUUGCCACUUACCACCCUAUUUCUAUAAUUCUCUUUCCUUGCUAAGGGUUCAUUUGGUUCUUGGAAAGGAGGGGGGAGCGCUUAAAAAUGGAUUUAAAUCUUAAAACAUUCUCUCAUUUUCAUUCUUUCUGAGAAAUAAACAAACCUAAUAGACCGAGAAGAGGGAUUUAAUGAAUUUUCCUCUUCUUCAUCCUCAAGCAGUAGUGUGUUAGAAAAUGUGAUACAUUUCAUAGCAUCAUCAAGCAGCAGUGUGUUAGAAAAUGUGAUACAUUUCAUAGCAUCAUCACCCAUUUAAUUGACGUGAAAGGCUUCCAUGAUACUCCACUUCUUUGUUCCCUACUCAUUUAAUCAGUAGUGUCCUCCUCAAUCUCAACCUUCACCAUGGGCGAGGACUCCAAGCCAAAAGAGACAAUUUCAUAGCAAUUUAAACACAGCACAAAGAACUUGGCUCUUGUAUCUGAUAUUUUUUUUCUUAGGUAAUUCUUUUUCUUUUUCCAUUUUUCUUGUCCCCAUUGGGACUUCAACUUGGAACCUCCCAUAAAACUUCCCCAACCCUUUACCACUUGAGCCAAGCCUGAAGGGCUCUUGUAUCUGAAAAUUUUAACAAACUAAUUAAUCACCAUUUUUCUACACAAGAUUAAAAUAGAGAAUCUCGAUACAAAAGAGCUUACAAGACUACUAAACUAGUGCAUUUGAUAUGAUAACAAAGCAUCAAGUAAGUGACAUUCAAUCACCCUAAAAAAGAGCAGUGUGUGAAACCUAGGAUCAGAGAACCCACAUGAAUGAUAAAACCAGAAUCUACCAAUAUAGUCCUUAAUUUUAUCUAUUAAAAAUUUCCAAUUAUACUUUACAAAUGAUCAAAAUAAAGCUAAAAUGCACAUUCUCUACCAAAAACCAAAGUCCCUUACUCCAAAUAAUAGAACCCUAGCAGGUGGAGACAGUGGACAAGGGAAGAUGCUACAACAGUCACAGGAACUUGUAGCUUUAUAAAAGUUCUUCACCCUGAAGAGAGCCUUGUAAAAAUAAUUUUGUAUCACCCAAAGCCCAAUUAAUAGUAAGAGUGCACAUUUUCCCACAUGCACCUAAGGAGGUCCUGAUCCACCCAAUACUCCCAAAACCAAAAUACAGAAAGAACUUUUGAAUGACCUAAACAGUUGAAAACAAAAAUUUUAUAAAUAUACUUCUUGAAUACUAAAAACUUGGAACAUCUGCAGAUCCUAAAAUAUCCAAUGCUUAUACAACAUCAACCAACCUGCUAUAAUUUCUGAGCAUCUGCUGAAAUAACCCACCACUCCUUGAAGAAACCUCAACCAACCAUCUUAUUUGCAUAGACCAGAUAACAGAAACCUAGAAUAAAACUAGAAAAGCCCAGUGGUGGAUGACACUUUGACUGCACAGUGGAUGUAAAAAAAAAAAAUUAACUUUGGACCAGAAUUAUUAUAUGGGACAAACAUAACAUAAAAAAUACUUGCUAAAAGGGAACAAAUAACUGGCACAUCACAUCAUCUCAAAUUCAGGUCUCUCCCCCCAUGGUUCCUAUGGAUUGCCCAGUCACGCUUUGAUUACCGUCUGAUUAGUAUAGUGCCUAUCCAUAACAGAAAAACCUUCUUAGAAUUGCAUCAGUGGAGUACCUCCAAUAAGUCUAUUAGAAGUAUCAGUGGGCAAAGAUAACAAGAUGCAUCUAUACUAGUAAAAGAUGAAUAAAUAUUCAUAAAUAAAGCCUAAAAAGGAAACAUAAAAGUGUAAUAGAGCCAAUAGAAGCAUAUACCAAAUCUACAGUCCUAGUCUGAACUGUGAUAAAGACAUCCAAAAUCCAGUAAUCCUCCAGAUGAAUACAAUAACAGGAACAAAAGAUUGAAGUAAAAACAUGUCGAUUUACAACCAGGAAAAAGAAAGAUUCACCAUUCGUAUCUUGAUGACAUGGUUCCAAAUCUAUGUUGAACACAUCAGUGAAGUAUGAAGUUAAAAAUGGACCACCACCAAGAGAAAAAAAUAAAGAAAAAAAUAUUAACACACAUAUAUGUAUUUCAUACUAAUAAAUGGGGCAAAUACCAUUUAGCAUGUACUACCAGAGAGAAUGCGUAACAAUCAGUUGAGCAAAAUACAAUGUAACCACAAAGAUGUUCAUCAAACCAGCACAAAUAAAGACUUACACACAGGAGCCAACAUACCAAUCCUCGCCAAUCAACAAGGAAUAUAGAGUUCUUUAGACUGCAAAGAUGCCCUCACUCUCACAACCUGAACCAUUUGUAUCAAUAAAGGACACCUAACAAGACAAGCAGCCAACUUAGACAAAGACACAUGGAUGACAAGAGAAGCAUUUUACUUCAGACAUAAACCAUGGUACUUAGAUUUUAUCGAGCUUUUCAGCUUUGACAACAGGGUUGGCUUUAGCAAUAGCAUCCCGUGCAGCAGUCCGGUAAUCAAAGGGGCAGUCAUGUUUGUCAGAGUAGCGAUGAACUGCACAAAAGAGGUUACCACAUUUGCAAUUGAAACCCGUUAAACCUACACGCUUUCGACAUGCGGUGCACCGAUUUGGUCCCUCCUUGACCUUGGACUCAAUGAUCUGGUUUGAGGAUGAGUCAUUGGAAGCUUCAGCAGAAAUGGCCUUCACCUCCACUGGUCCAGCUUGCACAUCCACGGUACCAGCAACAAUGGGCUCCUUUCCAUUGCCGCUAGAGCUUCCAUUCACAAUGCUUCCAAUGGAUGAUGCUGCAAGUUUGGCUUGUUCUUGCUUCAGGGCCAAGUCCUUGUGGCACUUGGAACACAUAUUCAUGGUGGCAGCACUCCCAAAGAAGCCACAGUUAUUAAUGCAAAGAAUUGGGCCUUCUGGAGCUUGGCAUCCUGUCUCAUCAUGAGACUCCAUCUUUUAACCCUCCUGCACAUCAUGAUCCCAACAUAUCCAGAUAUAAAAUGUGAGCCAAACCCAAAUACAACUAUGUAUGAACAAACAUGCAUGCAUUUCUUGCAUAAGAGCAUACAUAUUACAACUCACACCAGAUGUUAAAACUAAGACAAGAAGACAUGAAGCUGUCAAGAAUGAGCACUUGAGUAUAAAAGCAGACAAAACAUGGAUAAAGUGAUAUAAUUUUAUAAUCAUUCCCAAAUAAGUAAUGUUCACAAUUCUGAGUGGUAAUUAUAUGUUCAUCAUUUCUCCUUUCAAUUCAAGCAAAAUGAGAUCAUUUCAUGCUAGUUUCAAUACUAUGCUAAGAAAUAAUAAUAAUAACAGCAAUAACACAUGGAACAUAUUGUUUAUAGUCCAGACCCUCAACUCUAGUCUGCCAACAAAAAAAAAAUCCAAACCUUUCAUUUAAUGUAUAUAAAAAUAAAAAAGCAGGUUAGUAAUCCUGAUCUAUAACAAGAAGAAAAGGGUCCAUGGCCUCGGUCACAUCCAAUAAGAACCAAACAUGAACAAGAAGCUCGUCAUCUCAAAUAGAAAACAACAAAUCAACACAUAAAACGUAAAGAAUCCCCUUUAAGCAACAAUCUUAAUCAAAAUGGGUAAUAUUCCGAAUGUGUUGAUAAAACAUUUGGCCACAAUAUUACAAGCCAUAUCAUCGAAAAUUAACAAAGCCCAUUGACAUGAUAAAAAAUUCAGCUUCUAAAAUAACAAGCAAAAGCACAUAUAUAUAACAAGGAAAUCAUCACAAUAUUAACCAGUACAGCGGAUAUUCCAGAUGGGUUGAUUAAAAACCCUAAAUUCCCCAACCCAGCGAUGAAUUUGGCCCAAGCUGUACAAGUCAUAUCGUAUUAAAUUCAAAACAUGUAUAUCUAAUAUAUUGAACACACAUCUUCUAAUAACAUUCAAAACAUGUAUAGCUAAAUACAUCUUCCCAAACGUAUAUAAAUCGAAUUUUAAAUAUAUUUCAUACUGAUAUAUUUAAAAUUCGCAGAAGAUAGAAAAGAGGCAGGAGUAAAAACCCUAUGAGAGAGACAUAGAGAAACCCUCACCUGAUUGGUUAGGUUUGGCCGAUCUCGACUCACAAAAUCGAACCAGAAGAUGAUUCCUGGCUCAAUUUUAAAACCCUAAUUCAAUUAUUUAAAUUUAAAAGGACAAAAAAAACCGGAAUCAAAGUCAAAUCGACAUGAAGAAAUUUGAAACUGAUUUGAUGAGAUAGCAAAAGCUUAACCUAAUUGAGGAGAUAAUCGUAUAUAAAUCGGAGAAAUAGAGACCAGCAGGAGAGAGGAGGAAGGGGUAGAGAGAGAGAGGGGUUGGGUUGGGUUCGGAAAAUGUGUCCCUGGUUCUAUUUAAGACUUUACCUUUUCUUUCUGCCAACGAUCCCUUUGAACUGAGUCGGUGCUUUCUCAUUUCCUAACCUUCAUUCUCCCUUUAUUUACUCAAUUGCCCUUCCCUUGUAUUUUUUAAAUAUUGUAGAAAAAUAUUAAUAAAUAUAUAAUAAAACUUUUUGAAAAUUUGGAGGGAAAAUGUUAUAAAAAAAAAAUUAAAAAUAGAGUUAGGGAAAAAUGAGUUUCAAAUCAUUAAUUUUAACAAAUAUAAAAAAACAACUUCGACUUCUUCACUCAUUUAAAAAUAUUUUAAAAUAUUUACUCUUUUUUAUAAUCGAAUAAUUAUUUUCCAAAAAUUAUCAUUUUCCUUUAUAAUGUUAAUAACAUCGAUAGACAAAAAAACUGAAAUUAGAUUUAAUAAAAUAAAAAAAUUUAAAUAUUUAAAAAUAUAAUUAAAACUAAAAAAUAUAUAUAUAUUAACUUUCAUUUAAUUAAAAUACUCUCCCAGAUAUUAUAGAUGUCGAAAAAGAAGUAUAAAUAUAAUGGGAGUAAGUAUUUUAUUUUUUAAAAUUUUAAUUAUAUAUAUAUAUAUAUAUAUUUUAGUUUUAAUUGAAUUUUUUAUUUUUAACAUUUCUUAUUUUAUUAUUGAUAUUAAUUAACAAAAUUUUUAUUCAAUUUUAUUACAAAAAAUAUGAGAAAAUGAAGGGAUUUAUAUAAUAUAAUAUAUAAAAUCACUAUUAAUUAGGGGAUAAGAAAUAUCUUAUUUAUUACAUGAGGUCUUAGAAAAAUUUUGAUAAAUUAAAUUUGAAUAAUUUUAUUUAAUAUUAUUAAAUGGUAUUUAAGAAAAUAAUUAUUUAACUUAUAAAAAAUACAUAUAUUUUUAAAUAGAUGAAGAUUUUUUUUAUAUAUUUUAAAAAUUGUGAGUUAAAACUCACUUUUGUUAUACUUUUUCUAUUAUUUUUUAUAUAAAGAAUUAAAAUUUAUUUUCAAUUAUAUUUAAUUUUUUCACAAUAUAAAAAUGAGUAUAAUAUUUUUUUUUUUUUUAAAUCAAAUAUAGCUAAUUUUGAAACCUGCAUUUUAUUAGGCAAAAUUAUAUCUUAAUAUAAUUCAUAAUAAAAAAUAAUACAAUUUUAUGUGAAUAUAAAAUAUUUAUUUAUAGUGAUUAUUUAGGAAAAGGGCAAAUCGGGAAAAACCCAUAUAAAAUAAGCAGUUUUCUCCUGAAAAGGACAAAAUUGGGUAUAAUGUCUGUGGCAUUAUUAUUGAGGGAGAAGGAGUAAUGAUUUCACUUUUUUAAAAAUAAAAUUAUUUAACUAAUUAUUUUUAUAAAUAAAUUAUUUAUGGAAACAAAUUAUUUUUCAUAGUUUUAUAAAUAAAUGAAAAUUAUUUGUCAAAAUAAUUAUUUUUAAAUUAAAUAUAUUUCAUAAAUUUUCAAAAAUUUUAAAUAGUUUUCAUUUUUUUUUUUUUUUGGUGUGUGUAUAACAGAAGCGACAUUUCCAAUCGAAAUAUCUAUAAAUGGCAAUAUCUAAAUGGAUGAGAUAUUUGAUUAUUUUUCUUCGUAAGGUGAUAAUUUUUAAAAAAAUAUGAACAAUGGCAAGAUCAGAGCCGCUCAUCUUAACAUUUAGGGCCCACCUACAUGGACGGGCCAGAUGGAUCAAGAUCCACUAGUCGGCGGGAAAAGGGAAAGUGAAGGUAGAAAUGGCGGGAACUCAACAAAACCCUAUAAAUUGAACCCAGGUUCAUUCCAUCUUCGAACCUUCGGUCUUUCCUUAGAAAAGAGAGGAAAACCAAAAUGGGGAAGAAAAAGAAAACUAGAGUUUCUGAUAACAUCGCCGAAGAAAAAGAGUAUGUUGGUCAGUCUUCCAAAGAAGAAGAGUAUGUUAGUCAGUCUUCCACAAACGAGAGGAGCCUGUACGAGGUAUGUGAAAAUGUUUCCGAUCCCCAUUUUCAUGGUAGGAGAUUUCAUUACUUGUUGACUGGUGUUUGGGAUUUUUUUUUAAAUUUUUUUUAGGGUUUUGGAUGAUCGUCUUUCUUGAUCUGGACUUUUUUUUUUAAGAUUAUUUUAUUUUUUGUAACUGGUAAUAUCAAAAUGUAUGGUUGAAAUUUGUUAAUGAAUGAACAGAUGCAUAAGACAACUUUCCUGGGUUAGGUGCGACAGUUAGUGGUUUGAUUGCAAAAGGGGUCGAUCCAAGUGAGUAUGAGUAGCGUACACAGCUCAUAAAAGAAAGAGAAAACAUUUUAGUGAGGGCAAAUUUAAUUCGGAAAAUCCACAAUCAUAAAUUCAUUAAAUAAAAUCACGGGAUCCUAAUGACCAAAAGAAACAAGGGUUUCAGAAUGAAGUUUCUUAGGGUUUAGUGCCGUUUUGGCAGGAAGUUGUGGAACUUAUUUAAGGGAGUUUCAUUACCAACUCUUGGGAGCUGGUUUUUGAAGGUAUUCCUAUUUCGCCAAUUCUUUGUGACUGGAAAGGGGUUUUAUUUUUUAUUUUAUUUUAUUUUUAUAUUUUUUGUGUUGCAUGCGAUCCCUUCAUUUUGUAUGCUUUUUAACCCUUAAUCAAAUCCAACUCCAGCAAGGCUAUCGAUUUGUAGAAAAUCCUGGCCGGUUUGGAGUUAGGGUUUUGAAAUAGUGGAGUGGUUCAUUCAUCAAGCAAACACAAAGCAUAAAUAAUGCCUGCUUUUUUUGCAAAAUAGUAAAUGGCACACUACAGAAUUUGUUUUUAGAUGAAUAUUUUGGGGAAUUAGUCAUUUUCCAUCUAAAGGAUUAUAGGAGCUGCUUACCCUUCAAUUAUUCAAUAAUUGAAGGCCACUCAGAGUGGGAUUAACUAAGCCACAAGAAGUUGAUGUCUUGUGGUAACUAUUAUUCUGUGGAAGGCAAUUGCAGUGCUUUGAUUAUGGAUUAAGAAUUUUAGCAAAGUGGACAGCUGGUCUUUCCAAUACCUUGGUUGGACUCCUUUUCUGGAUUCCUGGGACAGAAUCUCUCCCAAUGUGGGCUGAUCUUGCUUGUAGGUUGCCAUAGGUGGUUAGAUGCUGCCUUCCAGUUUUGGUGUUGCUUUCAUUUGACCUUUGCAUGGCUAUGCGUAUUUGUUCCUAUCUUCUGAUGCAAAUUAUUCUCAUUGGAAUCAUGUCUCCGUUCCCUGCAAGGGGGGGAAAAUGCCUGCUGUGAAACAUGCCAUUUAUUGUGGUUGCUGAUUAGAUUCAAUGGUGUCGUUGUUUUGCAUGGUUCCAGACAUUUAUCUGGUGACACUGAUUUACCCUGGACUGAGAGCAAUAAAAUAUCCCAUGCUGUUGAUCCAAGUGGAGGGCAUUUUACAGAAAAUCUUCUCACAUGGUACUUGGACAGAGCACUUGAAUGUGUUCUCUUGCAGAGGAUAUUUCUUCUUGCAUUGCCUGUUUGUCUAUGCCUUUCCAUUCUUAAAUGAUAAAGGGUACAAGCUUCAAAAGGGUUGCUUUGGCCCUGUUUAGAAAGGAUUUUUAUUUUUUGGAAGGGGUGGGGAUGUGUGGGUGUUAUGAUGUAUGAUGAGAAAACAAGAGCUUCUAGAAGGUAAAUCCAGUUUCAACUCUUGAAAUUCUUUAGGCUUAAAUCCUGAUUCAUUUCAAGCUCUCUAGUUCUAUAUUUUGGAGUUAAAUUGGUAUAAUUAGCCUUUGAUUGGUAUUUUGAUAAUUCUAGUUUAAAUCCCUUGUAUCAAAUGCCAAAUUAUGAUCAGCAGAGUAGUUCCUGCAUGUCUACCCUUGUUUAGAUCAAUUUCAUAUAUGGCUUAACAUGUUUAAUCUCACUCUAGCAAAUAAUUAUUAUUUUUUUUAUAAGCAAAAAUGCAUAUAAAUUAAAACAUGCCAAAAGGAUGCACCACAGUACACAGGAUGUAUACAAAUAUUGCCUAAAAGCACAAGAAACAAGAGAGAACACAAAAAACAAUACCCUCUCUUAACAAGAAACUAACCAUUCUACAAAAUCUAUGUCUAUGUAUAUCUUUACCCAAUUAAACAAAUUACUAAAUAUUGAUCCAAAGGCUCUUUUCCUUCCAAACAGUUCAAAAAAUAGACAAAGGAGCUGCUCUCCAAACCUUAUUAUCCCUUUUACCUGCAAAGGAACUAGGCCAUCCCAGGAGAGCCUCCUUAACGAUAGCAACUUCCACCCAUUGGAUUCUGAAAAGAGCAAACAGCACCUGCCAAAGGACCCUGUCUUAGCACAUAGUAAUGAUCUUAUGACUGUUGUAAAUCUAUUGUGGUUUGAGGCUAAGUUGCUGAUUUUAAUUUCUCAUCUGCGAUUCCUUAUCUCAAGUUUCAUAUCCAAGCUCCAUGUUACUCCCUUUUUUAAUGUGGAAUCAGUAGGUUAGUGUUCUUGAUUUUACUGGGUCUUUAGAAGAUUGUUUUGGCUUGGUUUAGUUUUCAUGUUUGUCUUUUCUAAUAGCUGCUAUUCUUUGUUUGGUUCUACCAUCAAGAAUCCUUGGGAAGAUGAUGUUGAUGCAUGAAAGUUAACUACACUACAUUAAAAACAUAAUUAAAGGGAUUUUCUUGCUAUGAAUUAUCAGAAUAAAGCUGUCUUUGACUUCUAAUUAACAUGAUAAUGGUUGUUUGGUGCUUGGUCCUCAUUUAUUUGUCUUCCUUUAUUCGAUGUCCCCCUGUUUACUUUAAUAGACUUGAUUGCAAUGAGUUGCAUGUUCAAAUUUCAUUUCAUAUUUUGUAAAAGAUCUCCCUGUUCUCCCAUUCUCCCUCUUCUUGGUUUACUGAUGUACUUUUUUUUUAUUACAAUAAAAUUUCAAGUGGAGCAAGAGAUGCUGAAUAAUAACCUUGUGUCUUACAGGUUCUUGGUGUGGAAAAGACGGCAUCUCAGCAGGAAAUUAAGAAAGCUUACUAUAAGUUGGCAUUGCGGCUCCAUCCUGAUAAAAAUCCUGGUGAUGAGGUGCAUUUGAUUUCUAAUGAUGCCAAAAUCCUAUUCUCCAUAUAUCCGUUGCAAGGGUGGUUUUCUGGUUGUUACCCUUUGUUUUUUUCCCUCAUGUAGGAAGCCAAGGAAAAAUUUCAGCAACUACAAAAGGUGAUAUCAAUUCUUGGUGAUGAAGAGAAAAGGGCACUCUAUGAUCAGACUGGUUGUGUUGAUGAUGCUGUAAGUGAAUAUGAAAACCUUUUGUUUUGUAUGUUCUUUUUUAAUGGCAUUUGAGGGCACAAAUGUGUCCAUAAGAAUUGAUGAUAUCUAUUGAUCAGGAAGUGUGCAUCUUAUUUCUCAAUUUUUUUAUGAUCAGGACCUUGCUGGUGAAGUUGUUCAGAAUUUGCAUGAGUUUUUCAGAACCAUGUACAAAAAGGUCAUAUCAUUUUGCCUUAUUAUGGAAAAUUUCUGAUUUCACGUAAUCCUCCUAUUUAUUUUCAGACUGGAAAGAUGACAUGUGAACACUUGCAUUGGUAGCAGGUUACUGAGGCAGAUAUUGAAGAGUUUGAAGCAAACUACAGAGGAUCUGAUUCAGAGAAGAAUGAUUUGAUUGACCUGUACAAAAAGUGCAAGGGUAAUAUGAACAGGUACAAUAGCAAAUGUGUUUCCCUUCUUUUUUUUUUUUUAGGCUUGCCGGAUCAGCCUCUAAUCUGCUUUCCUUCUCAGGCUUUUCUGUUCAAUGCUUUGUUCUGACCCUAAGCUGGAUUCACACCGAUUCAAGGAUAUUCUUGAUGAGGCAAUAUCAGCAGGUAAGGGUUCUACUAGCUUUCUUUUUGUUUUUUUCCCUUCCUGAGAUAAGUUGUCUGAUAUUUAGCCAUUCUAUUUUCUUGGAAUUAGUGAAAACCCCUAAUGUGAGGCCUCAGAACUAGCUAUAAACUAAUAAGUAGAAAAUAAGCAUAUGAUAAAAAUCAGAAAAUAAAGAUCUGAUGACCCAUUGGCCCCACCCUAUAGGUCCACAUAGAAAAAUAACAUGGUGAAAUCAUUGUUAUUAUCUUCUUUGUUGGGGACCCAUUUAAGUUGUUGGCCUGUACUACUUGACUGUUGUUUUGUUUAAGAAACCAUAUUUAUAGCCAUGCUUCACAUGUACAUUGCUGACCAUGCACAGCAUAUUCUGCCACAAUUACACUUAAUCAUUCUCUUUUUCACAUAGGAGAGCUGAAGGCAACCAAAGUCUACCAGAAAUGGGCAAAACAAGUGUCUGAAGCAAAACCACCUACUAGUCCUUUAAGGAAGAGAGGAAAGUGAGUCAUCUCAACUUCAGAGUUGUGUUUUCAUGCUUACAGUAGUUUUAACUUUUAUGACCCCUGGAUGAAUAAUAUGCCUUUGACAGAUCAAAUAAAGAGUCAGAAUCAGAUCUAUUAGCAAUUAUAUCUCAGCGCAGAAGUGAAAGGAAAGACCGUUUUGAUUCAAUGUUCUCAUCUCUGGUGUCUAAAUAUGGUGGGAGUGGACAAGUUUCAGAACCCACUGAAGAAGAAUUUGAGGCCACACAAAGAAAGUUAGAGAGCCUCAAGGCAUCCAAAAAGUCCAAGCGGAAGUAACUGAACAACUCAAUAGAAUUUCUGUGUACAAAUUUUGUUUGCCUGUGAGCAUUUUGUGGUUUCCUUAUUCUUGGUACUUAUAUAUAGCUUUCGGAUUGUAUGAUUAUUGUAAACUGUCUUUUCUUAAGGAUUUUGGAUGAUUUCUCCUUUGAUUAGAUGGUCUGUAUGUCAGGUUACACGAAAAUAGAUUGAAUAACAAGACAAAACCAACAAAAAGUGAAGUAGAAUUGCAUUGCAUUGAAGAACCGUGGCAUUAAAAGGAGUGUAGGCCAUAUGAUAAUGUUAAAAUGAUAUUGUGGUAAGACAGGAAAAUAUAGAUUUAGAAAUGACCUGCAUUUGUGGAAGUUUGAAGUAGCACUAAUAUUGGACAGGGGAAAGUUGAUUAAGCUGGUUUAAUGAUACGCAUUAAGAACCAAUUAUUGCACCAAUUGAGGUGUGGUCCAUGGUGAUCUGCUUUUUAGGAGAUUGAUGAAACGGAGCUGUAAUUUGGGCGGCUGUCAUAUGAUUAUGUACAACCUCUAUAGAUGGCCCUCUUGCAACCAAAAUCAGGUGGCAUCAAAUAAAACUUAUCCAUUGGAAUGAGCUAUGAGCUAUGAGCUUGGGCAGAGAAGAAGUAAUGACUAAAGACCAUUUUUUUCGCAGAUUUGUUUGCAUUCUUUGCCCUCUAACCCAAAAUGAAGCUAGAAAGAAAGGCCGAAAAGUGAACAAAAUGCUUUACCCAAAACUCAUGCCUAACAAGGAAGAAAUUCUCAAAUUGAUCCAUUAGGUCUUCAGCAGUGUUACAAUUCUGUCCUCUACCCGCUUAGGACAUAAUGAAAACAACUUCACCUAUGGCAUGCUUAGAUGAAUGUUAUGUGAAGUGUAGGCGGAUGGACCAUUUGGUCUCCCUCCCUGUUUGUUUGCACUUUUUGAUGCAUCUGGGUCAAAUCACCAAGAAAAGCAUUAGGAUCCAAAACUUAUAUCAUCUUCCUUCGGCUUUGCUUGCUGCAUGUGUUCCAACAUCCAUGCCCUCUGCUUUAAUUUCUUUUCUAUUUCCUACCAAACAUGUUUACAAUAAGUAUGUCACAUUCUGAUAAUUUGGGGAAAGUAUAUAAUCUUUCAGCAUUCAGCUUGCCAAAUCAAGGCUAGUUCUUUUAAUACAGAAAGAUUUGCAUCAGACCCAUCUUUCACAACUAAAACAUGACCACUACUUACAAUAGUUACCUCUUACCUUAUUAUUACUUAGAGCAGAAGUAAAGAUUAGGAGUUCUUAUGAAUUGGGUAUCUAUUUCCUUAAUAAAAUGACUGUUGUACAGCAAGUUUGGAUGCUCAACUGGCAGUUUCCAUAUUGGGGCCCUAUGUACCUCAAAAAAGAUUCCUUUACAAUUGAAAAUGGAUAGCACAUACACCAAAAGUCUCAUUGACGAAGGGAGGUGGAUGAUGACAAGGAGUUGGUGGUCUAGCUUAAACCAUCAGGCAGUUCAACCACAGCAUAAUUUCAGCUAUUGCCCACCAUUUGGAUGAGCUGAUGAGGGUCAGGUAUGCUUUUCACCUUUCUACUCAGUUCCCUUUUUUCCAAUGCAUUAGGUUUAUAUGCUCAUUUAGUAAAGGUUUUGACAGUUGAUGGUGGGAAAAUUUGAGUCAACUCAAUUGAAUUUGUGGCAAAAAGUAAAUAAAAUUGCCCACAAUUUGCAUAUUCAGAAGCAUGAUUACACCCAAAGAUGGGAAAUCAUGAAGUGUUUCGGUGUGUGAAAAAGGUUUAAGGUACCCAUGAUUCCAUAAUGGGUGUGGCUGGCCAGCACAUCACAGCGCAAACCAAAUGACUUUGUGGGCAGAUCCUAGCAAUUGGGGUAAGUCUAAAAUUGGAUGAGAGCUUCAGUUGGAGGAUGGUGACAUCACAACUGCAUGCUGUGAAAGAAUUCCCCUGGUCUUCAUGAUCCUCCAUGAAUCUGCAAAUGCAAGCAAAGCUUUGCCUCUUCUCUAGUCUUCCAUGCCUGUCACUGAAAUAACUUUUUUGCCUUUACUCUCUCUCCCCCUCUCCCUCUCUGGGGUAGAUAAUCAACUUUUCAAUUAAGUAUCAUACUUGGUAAAUAAUCACCUUUUGAAUUAAGUAUUGCAUUUGAGCUUUGUUGCUUUUCUUGGGUUUUCCCUUCCAUCUGUCUCUGUCUCUCUCUCUAUCUAUCUCUAUUUUUGUUGGCCAGUAAUCGCCUUUUCAAUUAUUAUAUUAGUGCUAUGUCGCUUUUACUUGAGUUUGUCUUCCCACCUUUUUCUCAUUUAUGUUGUAAUUAAUAUCAUUUACUGUGGAAUUAAGCUUUACUCAAGUUCGUCUCUUCCUACCUAUAAGACCCCUCAAGGUUUCUGGAACUUCAUUAGUCUCAAGAGUCAUCCCUUGGAACCUUUUACGCCCGUAAUUGUUGCUCCAUGCACUCAAAUUUCCCUUUUCUGUUUAUUUUUGCUACAGAAUUGUCAUCCAAUUGUGAGAUUUCUGAAGUAGAUCCAAAUUGCAGACACUUAGGUUUACUGCUCGAGCUGGACUUUACCUCUCUGUGAUUCUUUUGCUUUUCUUGAAGGUCUUCAUGGAGACGGAGGAAAGUGAUACGAGGCUGAAAAUGGAAGAUUAUGAAGUUAUAGAGCAAAUUGGAAGAGGAGCAUUCGGUUCUGCCUUUCUUGUUCUCAACAAGACUGAGAAAAAGAAGUAAGAUGAUUAAUACCCUACCAUGUUUGUCUCGGUUUUGUUCUUUUCUCUACCUCGGUGGAUCUCAGAAUUAUGUGAAUUUUUAAUGAGAUUUGACUACCCAUCUUCUUUUUCUAUCCUUUCCUGUACAGUCCAUUCCUUAGAUGAUGAUUUUUCAAGGAACAAUGGAGGAAAAUCAAAAUUCUGUGUUCAAUCACAGAAAUUAUCUUCAAUAAAAACACAAUCGUUUUCUCAAAGCUGUAAAUUCAGAUUCCACUUUGUUUGAUUGUGUGUUUUUCUGUUUAAUAGAUAUGUUCUAAAGAAGAUUCGUGUGGCUAAGCAAACAGAGAAGUUCAAGCGUACAGCACACCAAGAGGUCACCUCGACUAAACCCUUUUAAUAUGUUUUCUAUAUCUUCCUUUUGAGCAUUGGAUUCAGCAUCUUUUCAUACCGUCUACCUGUAUUGCUUUAGGCAUUAUACAUGAAUUCAAUGCUUGUUUUCUGCUUACCUAACUCAAUCUUAGUCUCGAUCGAAUCAUCCCCAGUGCAUUAAUAGGAAACAGCUGCAAAUAUAAGAAUGCAAUACGUAGGAAAUCAUCACAAACUAUGAAAAAGGACCCAAGCAUGUAACUAAUCCUUGAUGGUGCCCUUUUCGCAGCAAACAAACUUCUUAUCACUUGCUACUUGAAUAUGUUCAUAAUUGAUUGAUAUUAGAUAUUCUCAUUUACAAUAAUUGUAGAUGGAGCUGAUUGCCAGACUAGAUAACCCAUAUAUAGUGGAAUACAAGGAUGCUUGGGUGGACAAGGUAAGUGCAUGAUGUCUUUGUGUUUAGUUGCUUUUGGAAUUUAAACAACAUAAAGCAUUUUGUAGCAUGGAAAAUUGUCGCUAUUUCAGCUAUUUUUAGUCCGAUACAAAUGGGUGUUUUGCUUUAUAUUUGGCAGGGAUGCUCUGUAUGCAUUGUGACUGGCUACUGUGAAGGAGGCGACAUGUAAGUAAUCACCAUCUCUUUGAGCUGUCAAUGGCACAAAUGGGAUAUAAUGGACCCACUUCUCAGAGAUAAAGCAGCACUUUCAAAUGAUUGACUAAGCCAAACCACCCACCCUACUUCAAUUCUUCCCACCUUCAACUCAAUAUAUCAGGAUAAACAUGUCUGACAACUAAAAUAUGCCUUAAAUAGUCUGUUAGAAUGAAAAACUAAUGUUUUUGGAUGAAUAGGGCUGGGGCCAUAAAGAAGGCCAGAGGAGCAUUGUUUCCAGAGGAGGUAAACAGAAAGUUCCUUUCUGAAAUCAAAAUCCUAUAUAUGUACCUACAUGAUGCUCAUAUUCUACAUGGCUCUUUUUUUUGGCUCCUUAGAAGCUCUGCAAGUGGCUGACUCAGUUGUUGCUAGCAGUGGACUAUCUGCAUUCAAACCGUGUCCUUCAUAGAGAUCUUAAGGUACAAAUAUACACUAAUUCCUGAAUAAAAUUGAUUAAAACAGCACUGUCAGUGACAGAGUAACAAUAAUGUUGCUUAAUUUCAGUGUUCCAACAUAUUCCUCACAAAGGAGAGCGACAUCCGGCUUGGUAAGAAGACAAAAGUCUCGCUGAAAGAGAGGGAAUUUUUUCUGCAUCAAGUUUGGGUUCCCUUGUCUUGACGUCUUAUGAGAAAUAUUUAUCUUUAAUGGAAUAUACAGGUGAUUUUGGACUUGCAAAAUUGCUCAGCACGGAAGACCUUGCUUCCUCGGUAGGUACCUGUUUAUCCACCUAAAAUGUUGUUCUUAUGCUUCAUGUCAAUGUCUUGACAUGCAAACUCUACCAACUUGGAACUGUUCCAAACUCCAUAUGGAUCCAUCACUGCACCCAAACAUGGUAUUUUCCUAAUCUAGUUGUUCACUUCAACCUAUUUUCAACAUCAUCUGUAAUUUAUAUAGGUUGUGGGUACUCCCAACUACAUGUGUCCUGAGCUUCUAGCAGAUAUACCUUAUGGAUACAAAUCUGAUAUAUGGUCACUAGGUAAGAAACCCAAAAACAUAGUUCUCAUUUUUAUGCUGUUCCGUUGAUGAUUCUGUUAUGAAUAACAUGCUUCCACUACUUCAGGUUGCUGCAUGUUUGAAAUUGCUGCACAUCAACCAGCAUUCAGAGCCCCUGUAAGUUUAAGCAUGAGCCAUAUUUUAUGGCGUCAAAUCACUUGGCCACAGUUGGAGCAUAUGAAAUUUACUCACAGCAUGAACUUCAUGGUAACAUAAAAUCUAUUCAUAACUCUUUCUAUCAAUCAGGAUAUGGCUGGACUAAUCAACAAGAUAAACAGAUCCUCCAUUUCUCCUCUCCCAAUUGUAUAUUCCUCCACAUUGUAAGUAUUUUCUUCUCUGAAAAAGAUCAAUCAAAUAAGUUUCUCUUAGUAAAUACUGAAAAUGUCUAUAGCAAUCAUGUAUGAUGUGCCUUUCUUGUCAAUCCUGCAACUGAGUUUACAGGAAACAGAUUAUCAAGAGUAUGCUGCGGAAGAAUCCAGAACACAGGCCAACUGUGAGUUCAAGUAGCCUGUAGCCCUAGCCCCACCCUUGCAUAUAAUCAAUUUUAACACCAUCCAUUCUCUUACUGGCGCAUUUUAAAUUUCAGGCUGCAGAAUUGUUAAGGCAUCCUCAUUUACAACCAUACCUGGUCCGCUGCCGCAACACAUCAUCCAUCUUUCUUCCUGUAAAGUCUGAGCACAUUUCAAAGGAUAAAACACCGAGAAAACCAUCACCUAUCAAACAUAGUGCUGGAAAGGACAAUAGAGACAAAGAGGGAAGAGUACUCAAAAUGGCGGGUAGUGUUGAGCCAUUGGAGGAAAAUGCAAAUGUUCAGCCAAGGAAUCUACAGAACAAAGCAAAGCCAACACCCAUAGUUCAAACUGAAGAAAACCUAGAGACCAAGAGAGUGGAUCCUACAAGCUAUCCUGAGGAAGUAUCCAAUGCUGUUGAGAGUUCAAAAGGUGGGUCUACAAGCUGUGCCACAACCAUUACCAAUGAAGAUGAGCAGGUGAACGGUAUCCUUUUAGCACAGAAGGAAAGCCUUGACACCGAAACUUCUACCGGGAGUACACCAAAUUCUCAGCCUGGAGAUGAAAAAGAACAAGACGAAUCAGAAUCCGCUCCCAAACAUUUUGCGCAAAUUCAAGAUGGUGAUAUCAAGAAUGUAACCUCAGAGGAUGAUGCAAUGGAAUCCAACACACAAGUUCCUGCAGGGGCUGAAACAGAGAGCAAGAGUCUUCAGCCUGGAAAUCAUGGGGCAAUGGCAACAUCCAGUGCCAACUCUACAGAUAAAGGUGGCUCUCUUGAUGAUGAAUCAUCAAAUUCAUCAUCAGCCACACAAGGUAUUGAAUAUGAACCUAAUGCAGAACCCAGUUGCUGUCUACAGAAAAUGGAAAGCCCCGAUUCCCAGGCAGAAGGCGGGGCUCAAAUUGACUACAUCUCAUCAGAAAGCAACGACAUACUCCCAUGUAAGGAUGAAGCAGGAGCAAAAACAGACAAUACUAGUUGCUCCAUGGUAAUGGCGAAAGACGAUAUGAAUACGAUGAAUAAAGCUCCAAGCGAAGUUUCAUUGCUGAGCACACUGACUGCAGUUGGUGGAGAUGAAACUAAAGGCGAAUGGGAUAACCCGAGCCAGCAGAGGGCCGACGCGCUAGAGUCCCUGCUUGAGCUAUGUGCACGGCUGCUUCAACAGGACAAACUGGAAGAGCUUGCUGGUGUGCUGAAACCUUUCGGAGAAGAAGCUGUCUCGUCCAGAGAAACUGCAAUUUGGUUGACAAAGAGCCUCAUGACUGCACAAAAAUUUCUUGGAGGAGCCUAAUUUAUCAACAACUGAGAUGGUUUGAAUUUUUUCAAUAAAUUAUUGUAAAGGAAAAUGGCCUUCUGUUAACUAUGUUUCUUCCAAAAUGUUUGCUUGAUUCUCACAUAUUAUCCUGUCCUAUCCUCCACAUGAGCUCACCCCACCUGACUAUGUCAUAAAAAUUUGUUUGUGUAAUCUCCAUUUCUGUCUGUUGUGUAAUCGUUUGCAGCAUGGAUUAAAGCUUUCUGAAAUUGAUUAUAUAUAAUCUUGUCUGGGAUCAGUCUAGGUGAUGAGAAAAAUGGGAAUCCUGAGAAACCCAUAUAGCAAAAUCCUUGUUUUAUUUCAAUGUAUCAUAGAAAAGUAUCCAGACUAACAAACACAUGAUACCAACAGAAUUCAAGAAACAUAGUGAUAAAAAAGUUCAACCACCAUUCUCUUCUCUAAUCAUUCCUCUCUCUCCUUUCCAUGUCUUCUCUUCUGAGCUGAGAGUUCAGUGCAAGUAGAAGGCGAAGAAUGAGAGGACGGAGGCUCCGACCAACGACCCCAGAACAGGCAAAGUUGCUUGGGCAGCAUUGGAUGGUCCUGGUGCGGGAGACAUGACCUCAUCUGAAGCCAUGGCGGCGCUCAUGGAGGCGGCAGCGAUGAGAACAGCGCAUGAGAUCUUCUUCAUGUCCAUGAUGAUAUUGAAUUCUGAAUUUGUUGUUAAUUUAGAGUUUGGAAAAUAAAAGGAUUUGAGAGAAUUUGCAGAGACCCGCCUCGGUGACUAAUAAAUUUUUGGAGCAGGUCUGAAGAAAAAUGAAGGUGGUGGAGAGGAUUUUAUAGGGAGAAAUUUGUGCUAUUUUUAGGGUAGAAGAAGCUGUUUGUUAGAGGUGCUAUGUUUAGUAGGUUUUGCAAGGAGUUAGUGGCUUAUGUUAGUGGGUCAAUAUGGAUGGUUCCUAGUGGUAUCAAUGGUUUGACCAUUUCAAACGCCUAGGGAAAUAACGAAUGGUACCAAUUUUUUAAUGUAGAACUAUAAAUUUUGAAAUACAAACAUUUAGGAUUAAGUAAAAAAAUAUAUAUAAAGUAAUAAAAUCAAAAUAAAAAGCAAUGAAAUAAAAUAUAAAAUAAUAAUUACACAUAUUACAUAUAAUAUAAUGAUAUUAUUGAUUAAGGGUGAUAAACUUCAAUAUAAUUCGUUAACACAGAUUCAAACCUAAUACAUUUUUCACAAAUUUGGAUUGAGUAUAAUCAUGUUUGAAUAUAAUUUAUAAGGUAUGGCCUAAAGUAUCAUCAUUGUUACAAAGACGAGAUAAGGUGACAGAUACUUCUUUGAAGUGAACGAGUUGUUCCAAUCUAGCACGUAGAAUAGAUAUCGGAAAGAUAAGACAAUUCUUAUAGGGCAAAGGAAUACAUAAAGAUAAAUCUUCAUCCAUGUGCAUGGAAAUAACUACAAGAGGGUUUGGUCUAGAUAAAUAGGUUGUUAUAUCUAGAGUUUGACCUCGGCUAUCAAAAUGCAAUAGUUGGCCUAUAAUUGGAUCAAAGAAUACCUUAAGAUUCAAUGAUUGCAGAUAAUAUAAUUAAUUUAACUAUAAUUGUAAUGUAUUUAACCCAUUCAUUUCAAGCUUACAUUUAAAUAAAUAAGUUAAAUUAAAUCAUUAAAAAUGUGACGUUAGGAGGCUAAUCACAUAGACUUAUAAAAAAUCUAAAUCAACUUAAUUAUUAAACAAGAUAACCUAAUUAUUAUUAAAUAGGUUAAAUGGAUAACAUGAUAUAUUACUUAUUUAAUUAUGUCAUAUUUGAUUUUAUAUUUUUAAUUUAAUUAUUAUUUAGGUUGUGGUAUUUAGAAAAACGCUUUAAACUUUACUCAUCAUAGAUACAAACCACCGAAACUAAUUUCCACUCUGCUGUUAAUGCAUAUAUAUCGACGUUUAAAAAAGUAGUGGUCAUUAUUUGAAGGGCUUCAUCUGGAAACCAAGAAUAGAUAAUUUUAAUACAAGAUUGAAAUGGGUUUUCAAAAAUUAAAAGUUACUUGGACCUAGAAAGUCUUAUAGGAAGGAAAAUGAUAUCUCACAAUUAUGAUAAUGCGAAGACCAUGGAAGAGAUGAGUAAAAAAGUUUCUAAUCCAUAUCCUCGUAAGAAUAUUGAGAAUGUUUCGACAAUUUUUAUAUUAUGCAUUAAGUGUAUAAUAUGUUUAUGAAAAGCAAGUAAAAAAAUAUAUAUUUUUGAGGUAAAAUAGAAUUAAUUAGUAAUUAUUUUCAAAUUUUGAAAAUUAAUUUUGAACCUAUUGCCAAAAAUAACCCUACCUCUCCACAUUACUUGGUAUCCCAGGCCCAGCCCCCUGAAUUAUUGAAAACUAAUGAGUGAUGAGUGAUGUCUGAAUUCAAAGGAUGUGGCGGUUGAAGUGAAAGCCACCCCCUCUCUGCUUUGGCCCACGAUGACCAGAAAAUUAUCAUUUCUGACAGCUUAACGGCUAGUUUUCCUUUCCAUUUUAUAACGCCACCUCACCUAAUUUCACCUUCGUCGUGGACAUGCCACCUCGCAAUGCAUCCUACGCCUUCCCCCCUUCUACACCCAUCAUUUUUUUUAUUCCUCUAAAAAUAAAUCACAUAAAAAAUUUAAAUCUCUCCUAAAAUUUUUAAAAAUAAUAAAUGAAAAAUAAUGAAGAAAAUAUUUAAUAAAAUUCCAAAUUAAUGAAAAUUCAAUGUAUUUAAUUAAAAUCUAAGAAAUUUUUAGUCCAAAAUAAUAAUAAUUAAAAGUAUUUUUGACAAUAAAACAAAAAAUUAUUUUCAAACAGAUCCGGCCCUCUCAUUCCACGUGUUUAAACGACUAAUAUACCCUAAUACCCCUCACCCAAAUCGAGGUAGAUCUCAGUGAUUUGAUGUGACGCGGACUACGAAACGAUUCGUGUUCCGAAUCCAACGGACGCCAUUGCAUCUACGCCACGCCAACCCUCGCGAUGAGAACAUCGGGGAAAGUACACUGCAUCGUAAACCACAAAAAGCUUCCGAAAAGCCCAAUAAAUCACUGCCACGUAUGAGUACAGCCACGUGUUAUCAUAUCAUUACAAAUGUCGAAUUCAACGUUUGUGGCUUUGGGCCAUUCUGGGCCCCAACGUUUCGGACCCGAUACCGAACUGUCUCUCGCCGCGGGCCCACCGUAGUAGUAUCCCAAAAGGCAUAACAAAGCAAUAAAAAUGAGGAUUUAAAUCCCAAUAUUUCUCUAUAAAUUCAAUCUCUCCGGCAUCGAGCCAAACACACCUCACUUCUUUUCACAGAACAUCCUGCAUAGCAUUCAAUACAGUAUUCAACAGAAUGCAUCCCGCCACUUUCGCUGCAAUCCACAUAAUGAUGAUCGCAUUUCUAGUGUUCGCGUUCGGAUCUCCGGUUACGGCACAGGACGCCAUAGCGCCUUCACCGGAAAUGGACACCGGAGCUGCUUUUGCGCUGCCGGUUUCUGGUAUUUUGGUUGUUUCUUCUGUUAUAAUAUCUCUGAGCAGGGCUUUGUGGUGGUGAAUUUCGAAGUUUUGGUACGUUGUCUGUAACUAUGCCUCUGUUGCUGAGUAUUGUGUGGAUGUGUGGUGAAGGUAAAAGAGGCUUUGUGCGAUGUUUUUAUGUUUCUGGUGGAGAGGAGGAGAGAUGUGAUUAUGAUUUUGCAAUUGAUGUGAUUUUAUGAAUGAUAAAUAAAUUCACAUUAAUUAAUUCUUUUUUUUUUUCUCUGUUCUGUUAUCAAAGUUCUUCCAAAAUAAAUAAAAAAUAAAUUCUAAUUAAAAAAAACACACUUACACACAAAAAAGUUAUAUAUUAAAAAAAUUAAAAUUAAAAGCAGUUUCUUUAUAAGCCAAACUAAGCUGUGUACCGGCUUUAAGAUGUUGUUGGCUUUUCUUAAAUGUGAAUUUUCAGGAUCGAGAUAUUUAGAUUGUCAUCAAAUCAAGUGGAUCUUCUGUAAAUCCUAAUCGAAAAUAUAUAAUUAAGAAAAAUUCAUAUUUAUAUAUUCUUAAAA